GACGCCACAGUUGGUGAUUCUGAAGGAGUGGACUGCCCAGUCCAAGUAGAAAGCAUGCUCAGAUUUCCUAAGAGGCAAUCCUUCCCUCAAGGCAGCCUCAUCAAUUUGAAUAACGUUAAUGCCUGCCUUCUCAAGAUCCUCGACUUCGUCCUUGAUGGCCAAAGCAAUCUGGUAGCAGGUUUCAUGUCUGCAAAAUUGGCAGCGAUUUAUGUUAAACAAUGUUUCCAUUUCAAAAGGUUAACCAAUAGUGAACCAGUUCUCAUUUAUAUACCUGGGCUGGUCAUUUCUAACAAAGGACCAGUUGAGAAUGGUGACAGGGCCAGUAAGCAUUCCUUUCAUUGGGCGAGCUGUCAUGCUCUGAGCCAAGGAGGACCAGAAGACGGUCAUAGCCUUGGGACGGCUCACAUCACCAUAGAUGAUGGGUGGCUUCACACAGCGAGAUCCAUAGGAUUGCACCCACCCAUUGGCAGUGAAGGCGAAACCUGAUAAUUGCUCUCCAAAGUACUCAACCAUGUCGUUCCUCUACAAAAACAAAUGUCCCAAUUCAAUAUGAGAUACAGCAUACUUCGUAUGCAAUUAGAAAUGCAGAAACAAAAAUGUAUAAAAUUUUAUCUAAUUCAAAACCAGGAGACAUUGCUUUGCUUCCAUUGGGCAUUGUGAAACUCACCUCAGGCUCUCCAUGGACAAGGACAUCAAUAUCAAGCUCUUCUUGGAGUUUGACAACCUUGUUGAUUUCCUCCUUGAUGGAAGCAACAUAUUCUUCCUCAGAAAUCCUAAAAAGGACAAAUAGUCACGGCACAGUUAAUACAGUAGUCGAAGUAAUUUCACACAUGGCAUUGAAUGAAGGAAAACCUCAGAUUGACUCACUUCUUAGCCUUGUAUUCACGGCGGACUCUCCUAAGUUCAAUGGUUUGUGGGAAGGAUCCAAUUGUGGUGGUUGGGAGGAUUGGAAGAUUGAGCUUCUUCUGUUGAGCAUCCAAUCUAGCACUAACGUUUGUAGCACGUCUGUGGUCUGAUCCCUUCAAAGCAGCAGCCUAAUUUACCAAGAGGAAGGAAUCACCGUUAGCAAAAAAAGGAAACUCUAAGGGGCAGCCACAUCAUAAAAAUGGAAAACAAAUCAAUCAUGCCACUUACAGCCUUUUGAACUCUCUCAUUGGUCACUCUCGGGGAGGACUUUCUUGAAGCCUGAGCUGCAGCAUUGGCAGAGAAGAAUCCCUGGAAACAAAUGAAAAGGAGAAACAAAGUUAGUCUCAUUCAUAUCAUUUCAAAAGGAAUAUACAUAUGCAAUUAGUGGGCUGAUUGUGAGAGAAAAUGUCCACAAAACUUUAACCAAACACCAAAUGCCCAAGUUGCCAAAUGAUGUUUAAUUCGGAAAAAUAUAUUUAGAAACAUUCAAAUAAAUAAUUUCCCCUUCUAAAUUUUCAUUUUCAACAACAUAUUUUACAAGCCAAGCUCAACUUCAGGCCAAGAUUUUCUGCUCCUAUAAUUAUAUUUUACCAUAAAACUAGGUCCUUGAAAGGCUAAGAUUUUCUGACUCUUGUGACUAGUCAAAGCCUAAGAUUCUUUCAAUUCAUCCGUAGCUAACAUUUUAGACUAAAAGUAUACCUCAUCCUUUUGGCCAGCCAAAGCCUUGGCCAAUGCAUUCACUUCAACAACUUUCUGGGCAGCAAAUGCCAGCCAUGACUUGAUUUCAUCGUCGAGUUUGUUCUCAUUAACAAGAUCAACAGCAGUGUGAAGAAGUGAGCAGGAGGUGGAGACCACAAGCUUGUCUGCAAAGAAAAAUAAUAAAUUAUACAACAAAUCCCAUAAAAGAAUAAGAAAUAUUUAUCACAAAGAAAAAUGCAGGCAAAGGAUGUAUACCUUUGCCAACAACACCCUCAAGCCCCCGGAGAACACUAAGAGAAGCAGCAAGAUCAUUGGCCCAAAUGUUCCUUCCAUCAACCACUCCAGCAAAGAGGUACUUGCCAGCAGGGAAUCCACUCUUGAUCAAUUCAAGGGUCUUCGUUCCACGAACCAAAUCAAAUCCAUAAGCGGUGACACCCUUCAAAGAAGUGAGGGUCUGGAAUGCCUCAGCUGGAACAUCAGCAAAGUAGGUCUCAACAAGAACAUUCAAGCCAGACAGAGUUGACUCUAGCUCGGCAUAAGCCUCACUGAAUGCAUGCAAUUUGUGUGAGUCAAGAUCCAUAACAAGCAAUGGCUCAUCAAACUGAAUCCAGGAAGCACCAGCAGCCUUAAGCUCAGAAAUAACUUCCCUGCAGAAGUGUUAAUUGGUACAACACAGAUUAAUGAUGUCACUCGAUAUAUACACACAGAGUUAUUUAGCACAUACACAUUUAUAAAUCAGUAAUAGGUGAUAAUUUCUUACUUGUAGAUUGGAAGGAUUUUCGGAAGAAGAGAAAGAAGAGAAAAGGUCUUCGCAACACCCUUGGCAGGCUUAGACAGCAACAAGUAUGACACAGGGCCAAUAAGCACUGGGACAGUUUCAACUCCAAGCUGCAGCAUUAGACAAGUGAUCGAUAUUAGCAUCUCACAAACUUGAUCUGAUUGAUAGAAAGUUACAAGCAAGUUCAGAAUUCGUUUAAUGAAAUCUCUAUGAAAAAUCUUCAGGGUCCACAAUGUGUUGAAAGUACCCUUUUCAAGUAAUUUAUCUUAAGACUAUUUUGCAAACAGUAUUGCUUUCCUUACAGAUCAAAUAAAUCAAACAACAUAUGAACACAUUUACUGAACCAAGUCUAAGUUCAAAGCUCUAUAAAUAAAUGUCAAUGAAUCUAUAGUAAAUUCUAUUGCAUCCUAAGCUAAAGAUGAGCAUAUCAUAUAAGAAUUUCAAGGUGAACGUAACCCAAUUUCAAUAUAUUGUAGAUUCAGAUAUCAAACGAAAUAAAAUUUGUAAAUAUAGACAGAACUGAGAAUAAACACUCACCCCCUUAGCCUCCUUGUACUCAGUCACAGCCUUGUGGGAAGCGUAGGAGAACUUAACAUCGGGUCCCAAUUCAGGAACAAUGAAAUGACUGCAUCAACACGAAGCCAAACACGCGUCAGCAUUCAGUACAAAACCAUUACACCAUAAAUAACUUGAAAUGCCGCUCUUCCAAGUAGUGAAUACUUACUAGUUGGUGUCGAACCACUUGGUCAUUUCCAUAGCGGGAACAGAGGCGUUUCCUCUGGCCAUGGAGAAGUAAACAUCAAAUCCAAUCUCGCCGCCGUUCCAGUUAUACCUCGGGGGCACGGCACCGAGCAUUGCGGUGGUGUCGAGCACUUGGUCGUAGUAGGAGAAAGUGUUGCUGGGAAUGUAUUUGAUCCCGGCCUGGGACAUCUGUUUCCAGAUGGAGGAUCUGAGAUCAGCGGACACCUUUUGCAAAUCCUCAGCGCUGCUCUUGCCAUCCCAGAAGGAUUCCAACGCGAACUUGAGCUCCCUCUUGGGGCCCAUGCGUGGGUAUCCAACGAUGUGAGAUGCCAUUUUACUGUCAUAAUCACGUCAUCAAUGAAUCGAAAAUCAGUCACUUUCAUUAAAUCAAGAAAAUAUUCAUUCAAAUGGAUGGGUCAUUGCUAUUACUGCUCAAAUCAAAUGAAAUCAAGAACACUUAUCAGAGCAUAAAAUCUUAAAUUAAUUUUUUUAUAAAAAAAUAAAAAACCAGUUGAAACAAGCUGAUAAUAAUCCAAGAGUUUGAGAUGAUUUUUUUCUUUCUGUAAUCACAUGAACAAUUAUGUACUUUCAGUCAUUUUUGAAGGAUUAAAACAAAAAAUUCUACAAAUAGAUUCUGAAAAGAAGAAUCUAAAAAUAGAUUCAAAAACAGUAACACAAGUAGAGUUCAAAUUGUUUUUCGGAAAAGAUUAAUUACAGAUCUGAUUGAUUCACGUUCAGAUCUAGCAAAAUCACGGCAGCCAAACACUAGAUCUAACACUAACAGUCACUCACCAGUCCAUUAGAAAAUGAAAUCAAGUUCAAAAUUCUUUUAAAGUUAAUUCUUUUUUAGAAAAUGACCAGAUUUUAGUUGAGUAUUAGUGAGUUUUUUACAAAAUAAUUUAUUUUUGUUUUUUAGAUCCAAAAGUUCGGAAAUCAAAACCAUGUUCAAUGCUUAUUCAUGAUUAACGGCGUAAAAACGCUACUGCAGAGAAGACAUAACGAAAAUGGGAACCGUACCAAACAGAGAAAGAAGAGCAGAGAAAUUGAGAGUCGAGAGGAGAGAGAGAAGAGAGCGGCGAGUUUGGGGGAGUGCCCUCUCCGUUAUUUAUAGCCAAAAAUCAAAUCUGGUUUGGUGGUUGCCUUUGGCGUGCCAACCUGUAGAUCUGAGAUUUUUCAUCUUAAUUUCUUUCUCUUAUUUAUUUAUUUAUUUAUUAUGAUUUUCAGUGCAGUUCAUAAAAUAUAGAGCUGACGCGCGCUUUUCUGAUGUGGCGCGUGAAUUGGAAAUGCGGUAGGUCUUUGUGGGCCCCACGGCACGGUCAGGACUGAAGGAAAAAUGUGAGAAGUUAUCAUAAUUUCAACAGUGCCAUAAUUAGCAAUUACACCACCAAAUAUUUCUUGAGUUUUUUUUUUUUGAUUGCUUUAAAUGCAGAGUUGUUAUGAAUUGUGUUAAUUGUAGAGUUGUUAUGAUUAGAUUACAUUAUAAUUCGUCACAAUUAUGAUAGGUAUGUACGUAUAUAAUAAUUUAUGAGUAAUGAUAUAACCACAAACUCUUAUACAAACUUAUUUUGUACAAAUUGAUGUGGCAUGAUAAAAUUAGUUGAAUUAAAUAUUACUUGAUCCACAUGAUUUGUUAUUAUUAUUUUAUAUUUUCAUUCAACCAAUGAAUUAAUGACACGUCAGUUUGUACAAGAUAAGUUUGUACAAGAGUUUAUGGUUGUAUCAUCACUCAUAAUUUAUAUAAGAUCUCGAAUAUUUAAAAAAUUUAUAAAUCAUUAUUUUCAUGUACAUUUACCUGGUAGCAAUGACAAUAACAUAAAAUAAACUCCAAACAAGAAUGGAUUAUAUUAUUUAUGUUAUUUUAUAGCUUUUUAAUUGAUUUUUAAAAGGAUUAAUUGUUAAUCAUUACUCUCCAACCGUAAUCACCAUUAAAUAUUUAUUUAAUUUAAUAGUCGGUAGAUCAUAAAUAAGAUUAGAAUAUUUAAUGGACAAUCUAAUUGCUACUACAAUUGUUAUCAUUUUUUUAAGGUAAGGGAUUAGACAAUACUCAAAUUUAUUUUUUAACCCCUUACUCCCUAAAGAUUCGAAUUUAACUAACUAAUUAAAUAAGACUGCUUAAAAACCACUCAACCACAUCUUUUGGGGACCAAUUAAUAUCGAUGUUUAAACUGAGGUUUAUUAUUAAAUUUUUUAAGUUUCAAGUUUCAACCGCUAACAACAUUAUCAUCGAUUAAUGAUAAAUAUAAUAAUAUUUCAUCAAAAAACCAUUUAACACAUCCAUCCAUAUUAAACAUAAGUAAAAAAUUUAUCAUGCAUUUCAAAUAUAUUUUUCAUCCUAAAAGUUAUGGAGAAAAUCUUGAUAUCAAAACUUACAAUGUAAUUAUGGGAUGUAAUUUUGCAUUUGAGGUCAGCACAACUUAAAAAUUACUAUGAAUGAAAAUUUAUAAUAAGCAGACACCACAAAAAAAAAUUAUUUAUAAGUAUUACAAUCAUGCAGUUUUAUUUAAGUAUUUAACCAAGUCAUUCAAUUUCUAAUUAAGACGGUAUAAAUUAGAUUUGGGCUGCCUAAGACCAAAAGUCAAAAAAAAAAAAAGAAUAUUCCUAAUAAGCAGCCUACCGCGGUCACGCGCCUUAAGAAACGCUUGGACUUAGCACACGAUUUUAAUCCAAAAUGUAUAAAAAAGGAAAAAUUUAUGAGGUGUAUAAUUAUCUUGAGUUGUUAUAUUUUGAAGAAACAAUGAAGAAAGUUGGUGGCCGAAGUUGAUCCGGGGCGAAUGGUGGUGGGCCCACGUUGUUGCAUUAUAAUUGGAGUUAUUGUAAUUUUUCUUAUAAUUAAUAAACUCCAUUUUUCAAAGAAAAUAAAUAAAUAAAUACACUCCCGAUUACGAAAAUAUCAUUUCAUGAGUGUCAAAGUUAGAGCUGGCAAAAUUUGACACGACCCGAUUACCUGACACGAACACGACAUAAAUAAAUAAGUAUGGAUCGUCAAAUUUAACACGAUUAUUAAAUGGGUCGGGUCUGGGUCAACACAAUUUUUUUCCGUGUCGGGUUUGGGUUAAAAUUCUUGACCCAUUUACCCGAUCAAUGACCCGAUUAUAUUUUCUAUUUUAAAAUAAUUUACAUAUUCUUAUAAUUAAAACUCAAAUAUUAGAGAUAUUUUUUUUAUUCUUUAAAAUGGUGAAUAUAAACACAGUGUUUUAUUUAUAAAAUUUUACAUACAUUUAGAGCUUCAAUAGUGUAAAUGUGUAAAAAUUGAUAGACAUGUAUAUUUUAUAAUAUUGAUAUAUAAUAUUAUAUAUAUAUAUAUAUAAUUAAAACCUCAAUAGUGUACAUGUGUAAUAUAUUGGUAGAUAUGUAUAUUUUAUAAUAUCGAUAAAUUAUGUAUGUAUGUAUUUAUGUACAUACGUAUGUAUGUAUUUAUGUAUAUACGUAUGUAUGUAUUUAUGUACAUACGUAUGUAUGAUAGUGUGUAAAUAUUUUAUGUAACUUUUGUUCAAUAUAUAGAUAUUAAACGGGUUAUUGGGUAACCCGAUUGUUUUUCCGUGUCGGGUUUGGGUCUCAAUAUUUUGACACGAUUAUUAAAUGGGUCGGGUUUGGGUCGACCUAAAUUUGACACGACACGACACGAACACGACCCGAUGACCCGUUUUGCCAGCUCUAGUCAAAGUGACCGUCACCUACGCAUCGCGUUUGUUGGGCGGGGUGGGUAAGGUGGGGCGAGGAGUUUGUUUGAUCGUCUGAUUACUUUGAUUUUGAUGAAACGUAUGGACGACGGCGAUGGCUUGCCAGCAAGUGGGUUUAUCAUGAUUUUGAUUGUAUUCGGGGAGAUGCUUAUGUAUAUCCUCAAAACUUCUUGGAAAUGAAAACCGCUGGGGUGGCAAAUCUUGACCAAUAAAGUGUGCGUGAUGUUGCGUUUAUAAAUUUCAAUAAUACUAUUGGCCGAUUGAGAUUAUUUUUAAAAAGUUUAAAAAUAAUUUUUAAAGGUUAAAUGUUAAUUUUAAUAUUGAAUAAAUUUUUAAAAAUUAUUUUUGAUAAAAUCAUUUUAUCCUCCAAUAAAUUUUAAAAAAUAGCGAUACAGUAAUUUUUUAAAAUCUAAUUUUAAUAAUCAAAACUAUUUUUUUAUAUAAUUUUAUAGAUAUCCGCAUAUAUAUAUUAUAAAAAUUCGAAAUCAUUAUUAUUAAUUAGGAAAUAAAAUCAUUAACUUUUAAGAAAUUAUUAUUAUUACCAAUUAUACUGACAUAACAAAAUAAAAAAUUAAUUAAUAUUAUAAAUAUUUAUUUCAGUUAUCAACUAUUAUAUAUACACAAUAAAAAAUAUUUUAUAUACAUAUUUAUAAAUGUAUAAAUAAUUUUUAUUCAAUAUUAUAUCGAAUUAAUCAUUUACAUUCUUGCAACAAGUUAACAAUAAAAUUUACCAAACACAUACGAUUGUUUUUAAAACUCAUAUUAUUUUUUUAAAAAAAAAUUACUAAACCUUUAACUGAUUCUCUUACAACUGAUUAUUUCUACAGUACAAUUAACAACAAUUAUUUUAAAAACUAUAACAUUUUCAAACUAGCCCCAUGACAAUAUUGUUAUUGUUGUUUUUCUUACUCUUAUCAAUAAAACUACGUUGCACAUAAGUGCAUAAAAAUUCACACAAAAUAAACUAUUUAACUUUAGGGUAUUAAUUGAAAAAAAAAAUCAGAUUAAGGUGAAUAAAUAUCAGAAAAUAACAAAUAGAUAAACUCUCACACUCUUUAAAAAAAUUAAUUUUAUAAUUUUAUUUAAAACCAACAGAUAUUACCAAACUUAACGGAUCAAUGUUCCAAUGUUUUCUUUUUAAUUUCAAAACCAACAGAUAUUCUUUGUUCAUUAUAUGACCUCCAAACAAAUAAUUUCAUUAAUAAAAUAAUAAUGAAAAGUAUCGUGGUGAGUACAGAGUAAUUCGGUGGCUAAUAAAAGUCUCUAUUUUUCGUCUCUGUUUUUCAUUUUAACUCUUGGGGUUGGUGCCACUUCGGCCUUGGUCGGAGUGGUGGGCUGCUGCCCUCACAAGUAUUGUGAGGACAGUGGUUCAAGCCCCCACAAAUAUUUUUGUGGGGGCUAACGUACUUAUUUAUUUAAUAUUUCAAAAAUUUCUUCUCCCUCGUGCAAUACGAGUGGAGUAUGGACAUCCCUCCUCUAUAAGGGAUUAUUUGUCUGGGCAUGUACUUCACAGAAUUCAAUGUAAUAAUAUAAGUCUCAAUCAUAUAUUUUUGAUUGUAAAUAUCAAUAUAAUAUAUCUGCUAUAAUAGCAGUUGUAAAUAUCUGUGUAAUGCAAUAAUAUGAUAAUUAAUCAUUAUUCAAAAAAAAAACUCUUGGGGUUGGUAGGCUCGUGAAUGGUCCACGUAACCUCUGGACGUAACACUCAAACAAAGACAGCACAAGGCACAUGAAAAAUGCCUAAAAACCGUAAAACCGUGACGUGUUCAACAUAUUAAUAAAUUUAUACUGUGUUUUCUUUUUUUUUUUAAUACUGUGUUGAUAAAGCACUUACGAUGGAACGACCAAUUCUAUUACUUGCAAAACUAAUUAAUAUUUCACUCUAUCAUCUAACUAAUGGAAGGCCAUCUUAAUUGAGGUUGCAAUAGUUAGAAAGUAGCGGGAAGGGUGGCCAAUGCUCCAUAUUAAUUUGCAUCAAUCCCUUUCUGGUGAAGAAGUACGGGUGAAGUAGAGGUCAAAGUUAGAAGAUGAAGGGUGUGUUUGGGAAUUGAGAGUGAGGUGCUGUAGUUUUUUAGCUGCAGUUGCUGUGAAAUAAAAGUUAUAACUGUGGAAUAGAAGUUGAGAAAAAAAAUUUGUUAAGCUGCCAAAGCCCAGUUACAAAUGUUACCAAACACCUUAGUAGCUAGGCUUUGGCAGCCCAUCUACCCCAUCACACUCCCAAACGGAUUAGAAGGGGACCGGGAUUGCUUUGUCAUAUUUGAAAAUGAUUUUGAAAAAAUAAAAAUUAAGUUCAGAAUUUGGUAAAUUCCUUUAAAAUUUCUUUUAGCAAAAUCACUCUCUCCUUUAGAUUUUGAAAAGUAUGGAAUGAGUAGUUUUUUAAAAUUUAAUUUUGAAAUUCGGAUUCAUAUUUAAUAUAAUACCAUAUAUCAUAACAUGUAUUAUAAAAAUCUAAAAUUAUCCUUAUUCAAUCAAUUAAGAAGUAAAAUCUUACAUUUAAAGAUAUUAUCAUUAUCAAUUAUAUUUAGAUAAUAAAAAAUACAAUUAAUAAAAUAAAAAUAUUUAUUUUAGUUAUCAAUUAUUAUAUAUAUACAUAAAAUGUAAUUAUAUAAACAUAUUUAUAAAUGUAUGUGUAAAUUAAAUUUGUAGAUUUAUGUUUAUAUAGAUCAUUUGCAUUCUUAUCACAUUUUAAAAGUGAGAUUUAUUAAAUAUAUAUAUGAUUAUUUUUAAAAUUUACAGCACUUUUUAAAACAAAAGUAUCAAAAGUUUAAUUGAUUCCUUAUUUUUACUGUACAACUAACAGUAAGAUGUGUUUGGUUCAAGUAUAAAAUGAUGGGAUUGGACAAUUUUAAGAUUAAAUAAUCCUAAUGCAAUGUUUGGUACCAAAAAUAAUUGUGGGAUAAAAAUAGUGGACCCCACCAUUUAAUCCAACACAAUGUCAAAAUUUUAUCACAAAGGGGGGUGUGGGAUAAGCUAAAACUUAAACGUAGGAUAACAAAAAAAAAGCCCAAAAUUUUAUACAACACAGUGAUUUUUUUUUUUUUUUGAGUAUGUCAUCAUCCAAUGAUAGUAUAUAUGCCAGAACACUCUUUUGACGUUAAUGAUAUGUAAUAUUUUCAUAUAUACAGCUAGUGACAUUGUUAUGUAAUUUCUUUUUCAUUUAUAGAUUUAUAUUAUUAUUAUAUUUGUUGAUGAUAUUCUUGUUAUGUUUAUAAUUAUAUUAUUUAGUAAUUUAUAAGUUUAAAAACUAUAACAUGUUAAAUAUAAGAAAAACUUUAAGCGAAGAUUUUGUAUUUUUUAACAAAUUUACCAAUAAUUUUUUAUUUAAGUUAGAUUAUAUUCCAUGUCAUUUUAAAAUAAAUCUAAGAUAAUUUUGAUAAAUUAAUAAAUAAGACAUAUUAUUAGUUACUAACCAAUUUCAUGGCAUACCAAACAUGAGAUAUGAUUAUUUACAGUCUAAUCCAACAUUGCACCAAACGUAAUAGAGUAUUAUAUAUAAUCCAAUGUUAUCAAAUCCAAUCAUAUCUUAUCCAAUCCGAUCCGAUCCAGUCUAAUCCAAUUUGACAUACCAAACAAGCCCUAAUUAUGUUAAAAACUACAUCAUUACCAAACUGACCCUUAAUACAAUCUCAUACAUACAUACAUAUAUAUAUAUAUAUUAAAAAUUAAAAAUUAUCUUUAUUUAGUUAGGAAAUAAAACCAUUAUAUUUAAAUAGAUUAAUAUUAUUACUAAUUAUAUUCAGAUAACAAAAUUAAUAAAAUAAAAAUAUUUGUUUGAUUUAUCAAUUAUUAUACACACAUAUUUAUAAAUGCAUGCGUAAAUAAAAUUUUAUAGAUUUAGGCCAAGGCGGAUGUACGGUACAGCAGUAUCUUUAUUUAGUUAGGAAAUAAAACCAUUAUAUUUAAAUAGAUUAAUAUUAUUACUAAUUAUAUUCAGAUAACAAAAUUAAUAAAAUAAAAAUAUUUGUUUGAUUUAUCAAUUAUUAUACACACAUAUUUAUAAAUGCAUGCGUAAAUAAAAUUUUAUAGAUUUAUGUCUAUUUAAAUCAUUUGCAUUCUUAUAACAUUUUAAAAAAAGAAAAGAAAAGUGAUUUACCAAAUACAUGUAAUUGUUCUUCAAACUUACAACACUUUUAAAAUAGAAUUUAAUAAAUGUUUAAUUAAUUUUUUCACAGCUGAUUAUUUUUAUGGUAUAACUAACAAUAAUCUAUAAACUUAUGGUAAAUAUUUGUGUGAAUGUUGGUCCAUGUAAAGAAGUAAAAACAACGCAUAUAUCAAGCAAUAAGAUAUCAAAACUCUUAGUAAAAUACAUAUACUAAUGAAAGAAUGACAGCAAUGCAAUAAAUAAGAUUAUAAUAUAAAUUAUUAAAAUUGUAUAUUAAAAAUUGAUGUAUGAAAUUCUUUUUAUUUUAGUGAUAGAUAAUGUGAUAUAUUUGAAUAAUUUGAUUAAAUGAAAAGAAAAAUAACAAGUAUGGUUGUGGAGGAAAUAAACCAUUGAACUGUGGAAUGUUAUUAAUUAUUGCUAUUUCAUUAUGUAACGUCCUGAUAAUAAGUACAGUGUUAUAGUAUAUUGAUGGGUGGUGAUAUUGUCACCCCUUAAAUUGUGUAAAGUCAACCUCAUUUACAAAUUUUUUGAUAUAAAUUAAAAAGUACAUUAGUUUUAAUAAAUUAUAUAUUUAUUGAAUAAACUAGAACCGUUAGGGAGCUGUAAUGUUAGCACUGUUUUAACUUAUUAUAAAAAAAAAAGUUAUGAUUUGAUCAUAACUCUAAUUUAGAAAAGAAAAAAGAGUUGAAUUGCUAACAUACUUAAAAAUAAAAUAAAAACAUUAUUAUUAGAUGAAAAAUUGUAAAACUUAAGGGGGCAUUUGCAAGUCCGCCACUACUCAAUAGAGCAUUAUUCAGUACUCGUUAAUAUAUCUCGAACUUUUAGGUUUUUUUAAUAUAUUUUUAAUACAUUUUCUAGAACAUUUAGAUAAAAAGAGUCAGUACUCCAAUUGAGUUGUGAAUAAACAUUUAGAUAAAAAGAGUCAAUACUCCAAUUGAGUUGUGAAUAAACUCAUGUUAAAAAAAAAAAAACUCAUUUUCACACUUGAAACGAUUAGUAAAUGGGUGAUACGAAUUUAACUUGGUCAAUAAUAUAUACCAUCUUAAGUUAACUUCAACUCAUUGAUCUUCUAUAGGGUUGAUCAGCCUGCCACAAGGCCCACAAAUUAUCACCUCUAAUGCUUUUGCAACAGUCGUUAUAAAUGCUGACAAAAUGAAACUUCUAUAUAUUUUGGUUUUUUUUUAUUUCUAUGAAAUAUAAGGCCCUUAUGGCAAAUUUCCAUCCAGCGUGAAAUUUGCUAGUUUGGCCUUGGUACUGUGGCACAUGCGUCAUGCAUGCGUGGCUGAGAUGCUUCUAAAACUAAUAAAUUAUGAAGAAUUCCAAAUUCGUACCAAAAAUAAGAGAAUAGGAGCUUGUCAUAGGUGUCCGCGGAUCGGAUUUUAUGGGUUAAACAUUAAUUCAUAUUUGAUUCGUGAUUUUGUAGAUUAUAAAUUUUUAAUUUAAUUCAAUUUAUGGAUUAGUGAAACUCAAUACAAAUUCAAUCCAUAUAUAUGCAAAUUAGAUGCGGAUUUAACCCAAUGCAUAUUCAAUCCAUCAUUUGGCGGAUUGAUUUGCAAAUUAAAAGUUUUUAAUUUUGUCCAAUCUAAAAAGUAAUUAAAUUAAAAAAAUCUAAUAUAUAAAUAAUUGAUUAAAUAAAAAAAUCUAAUGUAAAAAUAAUUUUACUACCAAUUAAAUUCAAAAUUGAACAAGAUUUAAAUAAAUUUAGAAUAAUACAUUCAAAAUUUUAAAAUAUAACACACCGAAAAAAAAAUUCAUUUAUUUAGAUCAAUACAUGAAAAUUAACUAAAAUUAUGAAUUUAAAUGUUGAAACUUGAAAGCUUGGAUGUAACAGGAAGAAUUUAAGAAACUUGAAGAGCUUGAAAAGAAAGUAAGAAAUUAAGUUUAAUUACCUCAAGUGGUGAAGUGAAACAGUGAUUGGCUUGUGCGUGCGGUGGGAUAGAGAUUUGGUGUUAUAUGUCAAAAUAUUUUGUUUGGCUUGGGGUUUUUGUUUUGCUUUAGAAAUUUUAAUGUUUAGGAAACUAUAUUUGCUUAUUUAAUUAUUUCUUAUUUUAUAUUGUUAUCGAAUAAAAUAUAAUAUUUUGUUAAUUUAGCUAUAAUUUUAUGCUGAAUAUAUUUAUUUAAAACGAUUUUAUUAAAUAAAUGUGCAUAUUUAACGAAGGUCUCUGAAAUUUCAACCUGCCUGCUAAUGAUAGCCAAUACGGCACGACCCACCAAAUGUCGGCCCACGCGGGCUUGUGGGCCAUGACGACUUUUUUUGUAAGGGCCCGGCACGGCCCACGGCACGAGUCCGUGCCCAAAAAAAGCCCACCUACCUUUUUUUUUUUUGUCCACAUGUUCAGCGUGCCUAAAAAAACCCACGUGCCUGACGUGCUUUUUUAAGCCCACCAGCCUAAUAGUAACAACAACAACAACAAUAAUAAUAAUUUCAUAGAAAUAAUUAAUGAAAAAUAAAAUAACAAUUCUAGAAUAACAAUUACAUCUAAUUUUAUUUGAACAACUAAUAUUAUAAUUGCACAUAAACUCUAUUGAAUGAAAAUGUAAUUUUUAAUUUAUUAUAAAAAUAUUUUGUUCAUAAUUUUAUUUUUUUGUGCGUAAAUAUGAAAAAUAUUUCAUUCACAAAUGAAACAUAUCUCCAUUAACUAUUAACUAAGUUAUGAUUUCAUAAAUGAAAUAUUAAUGUCGUAAAAUUUUUUAUUUAUCAUUUAUAAAAUCAUGAUAUUUAUUUAUCCAUUUAAUAAAUUAUAAACAUAAAAAAAUUAGAAUACUUAUUUAAACUAGGACUUAAAUUAAUUUUAAAAAGCCUAUACUAAAAAAAUAUAUUAAAAUUUUUAAUUUCAAGGUAUUUAUAAAAUCAUGAUAUUUUAUAUUUAUUUUUCAUUAAAAAAUUUUAUUUUGAUAUACUUUGGCCCACGUGCUAUUGGUGGCCCACGGGCCGCGUGCUUAGCCCACCAAUAAAGUGUGCUUAUUACAUGCCUUUUCGCGUGCCGUGUUUUGCCCCAUCUCUAAUCAUACCGUGCUUUUAAGGCCUGCGUGCCUAAAAUUCUAGGCCCGCCAGCCGUGCCGUGCCGUGCCGUGCCUCGUGCCGCCUGGCCCAUUGGCCAUCCCUACUGCCCGCCAACCACAUUUGUCCAAGAUCAAUUUGUAGGAAAAAAAUUUGAAAAUCAAUAAUUUAUUUAAUUAAUUGUUAAUGUAGGCAUUUGAAUCCCCACAAAAUCUGGGUGUCAGUUCUAGACUUCUGGUGAUAUAUUUUUCUAAUUAAGGAAUAAAAUAUUUUUGUCAUUUUUUUAAUAUUUUAAUUUACCAGGCAUAUCAACUAAUUAAUUUUUCUACUUAGACUAUUAAUUCAUUACGUGCGCAAUCUGUAGCCCGGCGCUCCAAUCCCAUGCAUGUUACACACAACUCAAUCAUUAUUUAUUUAUUUAUUUAUUUUGACCAACAACUCAAUGUUUUUUAUAGAGCUGUCAAAAUUUGACACGACCCGAUUACCCGACACGAACACGACAUAAAUAAAUGGGUAUGGGUCGUCAAAUUUAACACGAUUAUUAAAUGGGUCGGGUCCGGGUCAACACGAUUUUUUUCCGUGUCGGGUUUUGGGUUAAAAUUCUUGACCCAUUUACCCGAUCAAUGACCCGAUUAUAUUUUCUAUUUUAAAAUAAUUUACAUAUUCUUAUAAUUAAAACUCAAAUAUUAGAGAUGAUUUUCUUUUUUUUUAUUCUUUAAAAGGGUGAUAUAUUUUAUAAUAUCGAUAAAUUAUGUAUGUAUGUAUUUAUGUACAUACGUAUGUAUGAUAGUGUGGAAAUAUUUUAUGUAACUUUUGUUCAAUAUAUAGAUAUUAAACGGGUUAUUGGGUAACCCGAUUAUUUUUCCGUGUCGGGUUUGGGUCUCAAUAUUUUGACACGAUUAUUAAAUGGGUCGGGUUUGGGUCGACCUAAAUUUGACACGACACGAAACUGACACGACAUGAACACGACCCGAUGACCCGUUUUGCCAGCUCUAGUUUUUUAAUAUGAAAAGGUAUUGGUUAGCUUUGUCUUUAGUUUUUUCAACUUAUAAUAAGUUUGUAUUAAGGCUCCCUUUGGUACAGAUUUUCAAGUAAAACUUAUUUAGGGUUAUUUUUAGGGACCUCCCCUGAGGUUUGGUGUAUUAACAAUCUGAUAGAAAGUAUUCACGUAAUUACAAAGACCUCCCCUGACAUUUGUAUUAUGUUAAGUGGACUGUUAUUGACUAUUGAAAAUCCAAAAAUACCCUUCCUGCCAAAAUAUUUCUUUAUUCACUGAUGAACUGAUGGGUAAUUCGUGCCAAAAUCACAAAUUACUUAAGAAGAUGAAAAUAUCCAUUGGAUAAAAAAAAUGAAAUUGCUUAAUAAAAAAAUUGACAUUGCAUAAUAAUAAAAAAAAUUGAAAUAAUGUGCGGCGGCAUAGCUGCAUCUUGCAUGCAUAUUAUUAUUGUGAUUUUUUUAUUACAAACUCCAUCCUGCAUGCUUAUUAUUAUUGUGAUUUUUUUUAUUACAAACUACUUCAUAACUAAUACAUGCCACAAGAGCAGAGCUAUUAAAAGAAAUGAUUUUCAUAUUGUAAACUUGAUAGUACAGGUGUUGGCACCGACCAUAAAACCCUUAUGAUACCAAUCUUUGCUCCAUCCAUAUUUAAAUCCAGAUCAAGUAAAUAUUAAAUUGGAUUUCAGGUCCUGAAAAUCCCACUCUAUAAUUGAUAUCUUCGAGUUUUGUUGGUGCCUCAAACCUGGAUCUAGAGCAUCAUCUCUGUCAUACUCGGAACACCUAAACUAAUGGACUUGCUGCAGCUGCUUAUUCUUCUUCUGAAAUGAUGCACGCAGAUAGAUUACAGACUUUGAAAUAAGAAAUACAAUAAACAACAUGUAAUCGAACUUAAGAUUUCGGCAAACUUGUUUGAAAAUUAGAAUCAAACAAGGAAAAUGGCAAGUCAAUAUUUUUUAAUCUAGAAAAAGGGCAAUUUCAAAGUUUAUCACAUGCCAAAUUCAUAGUCUUGCAUCCACUAUUUUCUAGUUUGAAUAACAAACAAAAGCCUUAGACAAAAACACAGAGAACAUCUCACAUGGGAGCAAAAAUUGUGUGUAGAACAAUAUACUUAAGUUACAUGUGAUUACAAUCACAUUAUUUAGCAAAUACAAAAUUACCUUCUCAAAAAAAAAAAAAAAAAAAAAAACACCACCAAAUUAUUGAAGGUAUUACAACAAUAAGGCAAAAGAACACCAAAGGCAUGCACAAACCGAAACUAACACACAACUCAAUUAGUGUCAUGACCCCAAACUGAACAAUCAUAUAAACCAUUGUGGGCUCUCUAAAAGAUUAUCACAUUAUAAGCAAACAGAAACCUAUAUUUGAUGAACUACAUCUAGUACUUACACAACUCUUAAAUCAUUAGGAAAUUGCUCUUAUCAGUCAUUACCCAAUAGUUUUUUUCAACUCAACACUAACAACCCCAAAGAGAAACAACAUCCAGCACCAUUUUCAUUAAUUAAAACAGACCCAUUGUUAUUUUUAAUCAAUAAAAUAACAACAAUAUCGUGUAAGCCACUGAUUCAAGCAUUCAAGCUGUGUUUUCGAAGACUGACCUCUUCUUGCUAUCUAAUUCCAGUCACGAUAGACGCUAGAUGCCGGCAAUACUCGCUUCUUGGAAGCUCUGGACCACCGCACGACGUCAUCUUGUGCAGUAGAUGAAAAUAAAUCAAUGAUUUCAGAAAUUAUUUGUGAGUUGCAGACGCUUCUUCUCCAUGGAUGAAAAUGAUGGUGGGUUUUGUUCAAGUGUAAGCUGUGUUUACGAGGAGAAGUACACUUUGUGAAAAAAUCAUUUUCUUUCAUCUACUGGAUAAUGACUUUGGACUGGGUAAUGGUGUGUUUAAGUCUCUAUUUCACGGACAUUGAAGCAUAUUUUGCUUGAAUUUUGAUUUUGUUUAAAUUUCAAGUUUACUUUUACUUGUUUACCCUUUUAUACUGACGCUUAUGUAUUUUUAUACUAACGUUAAGGGAGGUCUUUGUAAUUAUAUGAAUACUUUCUAUCAGACUGUUAAUACAACAAACCUCAGGGGAGGUCCCUAAAAAUAACCCAACUUAUUUAAAUAGAACUUUUACAAAAAAAAAUUUAGUUAUUUGGUUGUCAAUAAACUUUUCAAGUAUACUUUGUUUGGUACAGCUUUUCAAGUAAAACUUAUUUAAGUAGAGCUUUUACAAAAAAAAAAAAAUUAGUUGUUUGGUUGUCAAUAAAAAUUUUUAUUAAAAAAAAUAUGAAAUUACUUUAUUAGUCAAGUUUUUUUAAAGUUAUGCUAUGAAAAGAAUAAAAUAAGAUUGUCAAAUAAAUAGAAAAUAUUUUAAAUAUUUUAACAUUUAAAAAAACUUUUUAACCUUUAUUUUCAAAAAUCUAAAAUUUAAACUUUUACUAGUAAAGGCAAAAUAAUUUAUUUAAACUUCAAAAGCUUUAUUAGAAAAAUAAUCAAACAAUAACAAAAAUUAUUAUAAAAGCUUAUCGAAUUAAAUAAGUACUUAUAGUUAUUAAAGAAGUUAUAUCUAACAGACACUAAUGCCGAAAGCCCCUUCUAAUUGUGGGUGUAAAAGUUUGAAUUAUGCAUACGGUUAAGGAGUUAAGGUGUGUUUGGCAACUGCAUUAAGUGGAAAUUUUUAUUUUGUUUCGAAUAAAAAUACAGCAAGCUCGUGUUCGGCUCAAAAUAAUGGAACGUUUAAUUUGCAACCGUCGGCGGACGAAGCACACCGUUCACGGCCCUUCGUAUAAAAUUGCAUAUGUAAACGUAAAUAGGUCCGGAUUCAGAUUCGUUGCUGUAGAGAGUGGCACGCACGAUCGGGCUGCUGUCGGUGGUAGGUUGGCAUUGGAAUUCUCAUCACGCGCUUCCCCAGGCGCCUACUUAUGGCAAAUUGACACGUGACGCGUGUGGAUUGAAUGGACAGAGUCCCGGGCAGUGUGUCCAAAGCUGCCAACCGUGCUCUGAUUUUUGUCAUCCAUAAUGGCUAACGACUAACGAGGGAGAUUUCCGGGCAGAAAGAAAUUGUUGUCGUUUCUGAAGGGGAAAAAAAAGUUAUUUAAUUUGUUGUUGAAGACAAAAUGAAGAUCUAAAUAAAUAAUGGCUAAUUUUGAGUGUAAAGCAACGGUAAAUGCAUUAUUAAAUUAGAUUUAGGGUCUGAUUGAGAUUAUUUUUAGAUUUAAAAUUAAUUUUGAAAAGUUAAAAUUAAUUUUGAUGUUUAUUAAUUUUUAUUAAAAAUUAUUUUUGUCAAAAUCUCUCAUCCUCCAGCAUAUUAUAAAAAAUAAGGAAGAAAUAAUUUUUUAAAAUUUAAUUUUAAGAAUCAGUUUUAUACUUAAUAUAAUCCACAUAUAUCCUCGUAAAUAUUAUAAAAAUUUAAAAUUAUUCUUAUUUAUUUAGGAUAUAAAAUUAUUAAAUUCAAACAUAUUAUUAUUAUUAUUAUUAUUGUUAUUAUUAUUAUUAUUAUUAUAAAUUCACACACGCACACACAUACUUAUAAAUUUAUAAAUAAACUUUAUUUAACAUUUUGUUCACUUAAAUCAUUUAUAUUCUUAUAGCAGUUUAACAUUAUGAUUUACCAAACACAGAUAAUUAUUUUUAAAAUCCAUAAUAUUUUUUAAAAUAAAUUUUAAUAAAUGUUUAACUUAUUAUUCUGACAACUGAUUUUUUUUGUAAGGUAUAACCAUUAAUAAUAAAUAUUUUAAAAGUUACAGUAUCCCCAAAUUGGCCCUUACUAAUACUCUGCGUUGCCAACUAAAUACUAAUUGUAACAUUAAACAUCUGGAAUAUUUUUCUCUAACGAAACAACACAAUUAAUUUCCCUCUAAAAAAGAAAAAGAAAAAGAAAAAAUAAACUACCAACCCCACCCCUUUAGACAGCAGAGUUUUAGCUGAGGCGGCUUGCUUGCAUAAGCAUUAAGGCUGCUCUUCACCAACCAUUGAACAUUCUUUCCAUUUGAUUGUUACACUUUACUUCGCCAUCUCAUGUCCAUGUACAUUGUUUUGAAAUGAAGACUUUGCGUACAACUAAUCUUUUUCAAUUCAUAAUAAAAACUCUUUUAAUUAGUUAAUAGCUAUAGCUUCCAAUUGAGACUAUAUAUAAAAAUCCAUAUUGACUGACCAAACCAAUAAUUUUUAAUUGGCUUGAGCAUUGUCUUACUUACUUCAAAAUCGUCACUCUCUUUGAAAAGAACAUGAGAGAGUUCACCUCCAUCUCAACCCUUAACCCUAUAUCUCAGUCAAGAGAUUAUUCAUGGAAAAUUCAGAAAAAAGAAAUGUUGCAAUAUUUACGAAACUCACGUCACGUGAGGUAAGAUAAAUUAUUCCUUUCUGCUUUAAUUCAUGUACAUAAUCAUGAGAAUAACUUUAAUUAUAGUUUAUUUCUCCGUUUUAAGAUUUUUCCUUUUUUUUUUUUAAUUAAUUAAUUAUAGUUCAUUCAUUAAUCCCAUAAGAAAUUAACACCUUUGCCGGUAAAGUCACACAUACAACAAUAUUUUAGAACAAAAGGGAAGAUCAUGCACGAUCAUGAUGUUUUAUUAUAUCUCUAGCAAUAUAAUUAUCUUAUAAUUAAUUAAAAACAAAACAGGUAAUUAAGCCAAAGUGGAUGGCAUGCAUCAAUCAUCAUGCAGAACACCUCCCCUUGUUUUAAAUAUAAAUAAAAGAAAUUUGUGCCCAGAAGACUUAAUUAAUACUUCUCGUUUCUGAAGUGCUCACAUGAUAUAUAGUCGGACGCAUUAUAUUUAAUUUCAUGAAUUAAUCGUACGGUUGUAUUUUGAGAGAGAGAGAGAGAGAGAGAGUGACUGAGUAAGAUAUGGCUUAAUUUAACCAAAUCUACGUAUAAAAUUUUAAAAUGAAUUUUUGAGUUUUAACUUAGGAAUUGUCUAUGAAUAAAAGUGUUAAUCAAAUAUUUCGUGUAAAAACAGUCAGCUGUAACAUUUUCGGUUGCUUUAACAAAACUGUAUAUUUCUGUAAUUUCCUAUAUGGGCCAAAAGGAACAUUUUUCUCAGAAAUUAAAAACUUAUGGUGAAAAAGAUAAGAAAACCAACAGGUUCAAAGGUGCGAGUAAACUGGGCUCUGGUGCGCCCAACUCCCUCUUUUGAUUUUGAGACUCUAUUGACCAUUGAGUUUGAGGCCCCAACGGCCCAGUUUAAAACUGUUAUGAAAAGAAAAAAAAUAUAACUAUAAAAUUAAAAUUAAUAAUGUUUGAUAAAUAUAAUUUUUAAAUAAUAAUUUGACAAAAAUAAUAUAGGGUCUUGUGUAUAUUUUUAUUUGGCAUUUCAAUUAAUCUGCUUAUAUAUAUAUAUAUAUAAGUUAAUCUAUAUUUCUUGCAAGAAGAUAGUAUUUCUUUAAUUAAAGUCAUAACUAAUAUAUAAAUUAUCAACUAACCAUCAAACAUUUAUCUCAUUUUAUCUCCACCACGAUCAUCACCAUUCAUCCUGUCACGAUCUUUAUGUAACUACAAUUAUUUUUUCUUUAAUAAUGUCAACCCACCAACCCCAUAACAAUAUCUCCAAACAUCUCAUCUCAAAAUUCCUAAUAACAUAAGUGUUUAUGUAUGAAAGAAAAUGUGAAAUAUAUAAUCAAAAAGUAGUUUAAUAAUAUAAUGUUUAAAAAUUAUGGUAAAAAUAAGUGAGAGUUUGGCAUGGCAAGUUAAUAAAAAGAUAAAAGCUCGGACACUUGAUGCAUCAAAGUAGCAAUGUCUGUCCAUCAUUAUCAUCAUGCGGGUUUAGGUGCUUCUCAUGAUAGCAUUAGCUGGUAAGACCAUCAUGCAUCGUACUUUCAUUGUUAUACAUUUUGAAGGUAAGAAUGGUUAUGUUACGUCCCUCCGAUUAGGUGUAUUUUUCUUCUUCUUCUUCUUCUUUUUCUUCUUCUUGUACGUAAUAAUUUCUCUUUCUUCCAUGAAGAUUUCUUUCUCUCUUUCUUUUUUUUUUUUUUAUUAUAAAUAAAAUGAUAAGAACUAAUUUCCUUACUAAUUGGUAGGGUCGUUUAAUGGUUCAGAUCCAUUAGAUUUUGUCAAAUUCAAGUCCAAUCCAUCAUAUAUUCCAUUUUAUAUUCCGGAUCCGAUCACUAAUAGAAAUCCAUUAUAAUUUAAAACAAUAAAACGUCGAAUCCAAUUUAAUUCGAUAUGAUCAAUCCAAUUAAAAUAAAAAUUUACAAAUAAAAAUCAUUAGUUGCUCUCUCCAGUUAUAAUUCUUAACAAUUAAAAAAAAUACAAAAUAUCAACUCCUUUAAUAUUUCAUGAUUCAUGUACUUUAUUAUCAUAUGGUUGGAAAAAAAAGUUGAAAUUUGAAUAUUAAAAGCAAAUGUUGGUUGCGACCUGCUGUUUGUAUUCUAUAUUGUUAUAGUAUAUUUAUAGUUAUUUUUUUAGCAAGUUAAAUAUAAAAGUGACAUAUAGUUUUUUUUUAUAAAAAAAAAUAAAUAAAGAAAAUAAAAAAUUAAUUGGUUGGAUUGGUUUAUAUUGGAUUUGAACAUAUAGAUCCAUAGACCAAUCUAAUAACAUUAUAUUUUUUAUUUUGCAAUCUUAUCCAAUCCAAUCAAAAUGUCAAUAUGACAAAAGUUGGAUUGGUUUUGAUCAGAUCGAUUGGUUUGAUUGGAUUGAAUUGAAUUAGAUCUUGAACAUCCUACCAAUUAGACUUUCCGUGAUUUUUUUUUUUCCAAAUUUAAUAAAGAGACUUCCCAUGAAUGUUAAAUGCAGUUUUAUUGAUGAAUUCUGCAAUUUUAAGAAAUGUUUGAUACACGAAUAAUGCAUCUCAUCAACCAAGUAACUGCGUCCCCUGCAGCAGCCGCGGCUUCAACUGGAAUACUGCAGCCACACCGGUCUUGAGACUCAACAUUCGGCCGAAACUCAAGCAAAAGUUGAACAAUAUCAGGCCUGCUUUGAGCUAUAGCAAUAUGAAGCAAUGUUUGUCCCUGCGCACCAGCAGAAUCAGCUGGGUGGGUUCCAAGCAGGGUCACUCUGUUCAAGAACCUCUCUUAUCUCAUCCAUUUCACCAUCCUUAACUAGCUGAACCACAACAUGGGACCCAACAAACAUGAUCUUGAUUCCUAUUGAUGAACGCUGGCUUCUUCCUUCUUGUGAACCAGUCACCAGGAACCGAAUCAAGCAUCAAUGUUGCAUCUUUAAUUGCAGCUGCAGGAACGACAACGCUAUGCAAGAGGAAGGAAUCAUCACAGUGAGGGAAAGUAUGAAGGAGAACUGAUCCUGGAGGAAGAUGAUACGCAAUCUCUAUGCUUACUGUUCCGAGUGGUUGCAUUGACCUGAAUAGUUCGAUCUAUUUCUCGUGUAUCUACUUGCGCUGCACUUUCACUCGAAGAACCUACAAAAUUAUUCAUAACCCGGCAUAAAAAAGACGUAAAGUUUUCAGCGCGAGCAUGGUAACUUCAAAACCCGUUUCAUACCUAUCAUAUUUCAUUCGUCCCGCACCCUCAUUUAAAAGACUAGAGCUUAUAAAAACUAGAAGUACCUUACCCAGAACAUAAAAGCAGACAAAACCCAGUCGAGUAUAAAUAUAACGUUGAAUAACACCUACCAUUUACCAUUUCAUUCAAGAACACCACACAAUUAACGAAACCAACAUCGGUAUGUUUUCAGCCGUUGUACUUUCAACUUAAUUUUGAAAGCGCGGCAGCUAAAGCCUAAACUGUUGUUUGAUAAAAGUCCACCCACUGACUGCUACCUGGCGGCUACCGAUUCCAUUCAAUAGCAGUCAUAAAAUAAAAAGUACAAAACAAACCUAUGUACAAAAAAGGCAAUGAAGCAGCCAUGGAUUCAGUUAUUUGCAUGUUUGGGAUUGUGGUUGAUUCCAAAUUGAGAAUAUACUGCGAAAUUAUGUUUGAUAAGCAUUUAUCUGAUGAUUGCUACUUUAUUGAGUGCCUGUUUGGUAUGGCUUAUUUAAAAGCCAUAAGUGCUUAUUUAAUCGUAUAAGCACUUUUUUAAAAUUUUUAUGGUGUUUGGUUAUUUUUUUAGUAGAGUUUUUUUAGCUUAAAUAAGCUAAUUUACCUCUACUAGCAAAAGCCCAAAAUUUGAGCUUUUGGGAGUAGAGGUUAAAGAGCUUAUCUAAAAAAUAUAUAAUAAAAAAAAUAUCAUACAGUUUAAUGAUUCAAAAGUGUUUUUUUUAUUGACAACCAAACACCCAAUGACUUUUUGUCCAAAAACUCUAUUGGUAUAAGCUCUACUGCUAUAAGCUCUAUUGUUAUAAGCUCUAUUUAAUAAGCUGUACCAAACGGAGCCUAAAGCAUUCAUUUUUUUUUUUCGCGUUUGGCCUCUUCACUUUUUAAAAAAUUUUAUGGUGUUUGGUUAUUUUUUUAGUAGAGUUUUUUUAGCUUAAAUAAGCUAAUUUACCUCUACUAGCAAAAGCCCAAAAUUUGAGCUUUUGGGAGUAGAGGUUAAAGAGCUUAUCUAAAAAAUAUAUAAUAAAAAAAAUAUCAUACAGUUUAAUGAUUCAAAAGUGUUUUUUUUAUUGACAACCAAACACCCAAUGACUUUUUGUCCAAAAACUCUAUUGGUAUAAGCUCUAUUGUUAUAAGCUCUAUUUAAUAAGCUGUACCAAACGGAGCCUGAGUCUUCAAAGAAAAACUCAAUCAACUAAUGCUCGAUUUUUUUUUUUAAAUGACAAAUCAAAAAGUAUUUUGGAGUAGAUUCUCAAAAGAGUGAUUAUUUGAUAAUCCACCAUAAUCCCACUUAGUUAUCAGAAAUAAAUUAAAAUCCGACGAAUGUUACUUAAGCCAAACAGCAUUAUUUUAUUUUGACCACAAGGACCACAACCCUCAAGCUGUCAAGCAACCGUUACCGUUAACGACCAAUCUUUCACCUCUCCGAAUCUUUGCAAGUCACUAUCAAGCAACCGUUACUAAUAUUUAAUCAAUUAUUAGGAUUAUUGGAUUUCUCAAAUACCUUAUGUACUUUGGUUCACUUUCUACUAAAAUAAAUAUUACAGGAGCUUUCAAAGUCUAGGCUAAGGUUGUUGUAAACAUAGAGAGAUUCAGAGAUAUAACAGCUUGUAAUUACAUACCACAAAGCAUAACUUUGUUCGAAUGAUAAUGAUCAUAAUCCAGAUUAUAGACGUAGAGAGAGGAGAAGUCGUACUUGAGGGGCAAAACGCGGCGUUUUGGCUCGUGGAUGAGGUGCUGCUCCUGAUCGUCGUAGAUUGAAGGGAGGAGAGGUCGGUCGAGGAAGUUUAGGAGACGGUGGAGGCUGAAUUGGUGAAUUUCGAUGAAGACUGACGAAUCCAAUGGGGCUUGAGGGUUUGAUUUGCAAAGAUGAAAGAUAAGAGCAUUGUUUUGGUUUCUGUGCAAAAAAAAAAAAAAAAAACAUGACAAGCGUUGUUUUGGUUUUGGUUCUAAAAAGAUGAAAAUUUGACUGCAAUGGAUCCAUACGCAGUCGGUGUCAAAUAAGAGGAGAAACAAAUAUGUUAAUCACUCGCUCAAUCACUCAUGCGAAGUGCCUUUUUUUUCGUUGCUUUGGCUUCUGAGAAAUAUAUGCAUCAGAUAUUACAACUCUCGAGGAUAAUGCAUUUUGUUCCGGUUUUGACUGAUAUUUAGUGGCAUUUGAUAAACUGAUACCUCAGAACCUGGUAGAGAGUUUAUUAAAUACAAAGAGAACAAAAAUAUAUGACUAUAUAAGCUUUUACACGGUUGAAGAUCCGGUCAAAUUGGCUUUAGUUAGCAAGAUCAUUUAAAACUUUCAAAAAACGAAUGGUAUCAAAAAGCUCUGAGAAAAAGCGGAAAAAAGGCACCACAAAGAUCUUGCAAUUAUUAUCACAGCUUGAUAAGACAUGGAAAUGUAUCUUACAAAUUGGCCUUCCAAGCAUCAAAGAAUUGGGUGGCGACAACUCCCAUUCCUAGCUGCUACCGUGGCCAGUCCCUUCUAACUAAAAUGGGACAGGACCAAAAGCAAGGUCUCUCCCACUCUCCUUAUGUAUAUAAAAUUCCCUACAUUCGAAUAAAACUACAGAAAAAGAUUUGCACAUCAUCUUCUUUCACCUUAUUUUGCAAUCUUCAAGAGUUUGGAAGAUUUCAAAGCACUUGUUAGAAUGUAGCACUCCAUUAAGCAUUCUCACCUUCCCCACACCCCAAUGGACCUCCUUAAUCCUAUCGGCAGACCUACAAAUUCUGCUGCAACUCCAAUCAAAUAAAGCAACACAAUUGUUGCCUGCCUAAGCCUUCCACUCACAGCCUGCAAUGACAAGUUCAUGAUACAAAAUCAGAAACAUUAAUAAACAAAAAGAUAUUACCAUUACUUGCAGAGGGGGAUUUGUUGCAAUUAGUAAAUGCCAUACUUAUCACUUUCAUUGCAGAUAUCAUCAUCAUCAUAAUACUAGCAAUCCAGCACUAAUAGUCAGAAUAAUAAUAAUAGUAGCAUGAAUAAAGAAUUUCUGCAGAGUAAGCUCUAAAGAUGCCGAAAGUGUCAUCUAUUAUGUUAAUAAUAAAAAAGUCUAUCAAGAAUUCAAGGAAAGAAAACUCAUUAACAAAGAACUAAACUUUUUAAUAAUGUUUAAUAAACUACGUACCUAUGAUUUUCUAUUAUUAACAUAAAUGACACUACGUACAACUGAUUUUCGCUUUCUAAUGUUUCAAAUCAUACCGAGAAAUAUAACAAUUACCAAGUCAGUAAGUAGCACAAUUACUUAAUAAGACUUUGACUUGUCUAACCCAAAAUUGUACCCAAUUCUAUACUCUACCAUGAAAAGCUUAUGAAGCCGAACUUACUUUGACCAAACAGUACUAUUAGCUCAGUUAAAGGAAACCACAAUUGAACAAAGUUCAGCUGAAAUAACUGAACUAAAAAAACUUGAUAAAAUUAAAAGUAACUUAUAACAGUUUAGUAAAGAAGCAUACAAAACAUGAAGAUAAAUAAACAUAGGUCUAUUUUCUUGACACUACCAGGUCCUUUCCUUUUUUUUUUUUCAGAUAAGAUCUCGAUACUACCAAGUUUUGGAUUCAAAAUCACCAUAUUACAAUAAUAGUUGUGAUUCAUGGGAUACAAUAUGUAGCAGCUUAUAUGUCGGCAAUUAUAGUCAAAGAUGGUUGUCAAACAUCAUCGCAAAUCAAGAAGCUAAUAAAGACCAUGUCACACUACAUUAACAUAUAUCAGUUCUUUGAUACAAAGAUAUUGAAUGUUAUACAUUUCUAAUCCCAAGUCCUGAAAUACAAAACAAAAGUUCACUUCACACAGUCAUAAAGCUAGACUGCUAGAUAAAUGGACAAUAGGCAUUGGAUAUGGGUCAAUAAACUAUUAAGCUAAUUAAUGCACACGAAGGAAUCCGUUAGAGCUAGUAAAAUAGCCCUUACCAGAGAACUCGCAGAAGCAUUCAAUUUCCUCAAAGGAGAUAACUUACAACAUAAACAUUUUGAUAAGCAGCAACACACAUAAAAUAGCUUCACUCACUAGCAACAGAGCAACUUCUUCAACACAUUAAUAAAUCCAUUUUCAUUUUUAAACAACAAAAUAAUGCCCAGUUUCUCCAGCACAAAUAGGGUAAGCAGUAAUAGAAAAACAUGAUACAUAGGAAUUACCGGCCUCAAGAAAUCUCCAAGCUUUCUGUCCUCUGCUUCAAUUGCUCAAUCAAGAAUGCCCCAGACGUUGCGCUAGCGUGGUGGUGGAGCGUCGCGAAGCGUGUGGCGGCGGUGUCGGCGAAGGCAGGUCAUGAAGAUAGUUGGUGUCGCGCAGCGAAGGCAGUGCAGCUGGUGUCAUGCGGCGAAGGCAAAUCGCGUGGUGGUGGAGUUGGGGUCGCGCGGCAGUGGCGGUGCGGUGCUGAGGCAUAAUAGUGGCGGUGGCGUUGUGCGACAGUGGCAGUGUGGAGGCAGAUUGCGUGGAGCUGGCGGUGUUGAGGCAGAUCGCGUGGAGGCAGAUGCCGCGGUGGUGGAGUUGCUGUCGCGAUCAACGCCUGUGAAAGGGAAUGAAAGUGAAGGAGAUACCUACAAAAGAAAGAACGAGUGAAAUUUUUUUUUUUGUUCAAGGGUUUCAAACCCACAUAAACCCGACUCUCACACGGGUUCAGUAAGUUUAUGCGGGUUUGACUGCAUUACAAAUUGGUAUGACCACAACAACAGUACAAUGAUUGGUAAUUACCAAACAUGCUAUUUAUGUUGGUAUUAAAUUAAUUUAAUACAAUGAGGAGUGGUAAUAUCAUACAAUGAGGACUGUUAAAUAUGGUGUGUUUAAUAUGUUGUAUUGUAUUAUAUUAUUUUAAUACAAAUAUAUUAUAUUAUCUUGUAUUAUAAUAUAAAAUAAUGAAAAAUAUCGAAUUUCAAUAUAUAAAAAAAAAAUAAAUAUAUUUUGUUAUAUUCGAUCUGCUGUACGGCCAAGGCGGAUGUACGGUACAGCAGAUAAGAAUUUAAAUACAUACACUUAUAAUACAACUUAGUUUUUCCACAUUGUCGAGGGAUCAAAACAACCCAUCAUUGGAGUCCAAUAAGUUAUGUGGCGACACAAAAAAGUAAUUCUAUAUUUUUUACGUCAUAAAUAUGUAAAAAAAAUUGUAUUAUAUCUUAUUAUUAUUAGUUUUUUUUCUUCAGUUUUGACAAGUAUAGUUUUCUUGUUGAGUGGCUCAACAAGGCUGGUUACAAUUUCGAAAUAAUGUUCCAUCUGUAUCUGUUUUCCUUUUGUUUUUGAUUUUGUAGUAUAGUUAAUUUGUACGAAUUUGUUGCCUGGUUGGUUUUUAUGCUGAAAAGUCAGUUCAUUGGAAAUGACAGAAAAUUGUUUUUCUUUUUCAUUUUUACAGAAAGAGAUUUGCAACGUUAUAAAAGUAAGAGAUCCUAAGAGAUCCCUGAAUCAUAUUAAAUAUUAAACUUAAGAUACAGUCAAGGCUUUUAUUAUGUUACUAAUCAUGUAACGAAUAUAAUUAUGUAGCAGUCGUUAAAUACAAAUUUAACAGUUAUAAAAAUAACAUGAUUUUAUUAUCUUAUAUUUCUAUAAUCGUUGAAUUUUUAUCUGCUGUACCGUACAUCCGCCUUGGCCGUACAGCAGUAUUGAAUUUUAAAAAUUUAAUAUUAUUUUUUUAAUAUAAAUAUUAAAAAAUAUCAUAAUUCUUCAUAGAAAUCGAAGUUCAUGGCAUUAAAUUUUUAACGCCGCAUACAUAAUAAAAAAUUUGAUUCUCUAGUGCCAAUAUAAUAGAAUACAUAAAAACGAGACUGAGAAACUACGAAUAAAGCUCAUCAUCAAGGACUCCACAACAUUAUAAGAAGUACUAUGUAACAUUUGCCAAAUUACAACACCACAUCAAGACAUAUCACAAUGUAAAAUUUUUCCUAGAGAUUUGGUAAUUGAAAAACACAAUUCAAGUUGAAAACUGAUAGUCGACUUGAAAAGUUUUAACAUAUCCCAUAAAAGAAAUGUGCCAUGCCAAAAAUCCUAACCCUUGGCUCUUUGACGAUAAGAAAAUAUUGAAAAUUCCAAAGUACAGUGCAAUGGGAGAAAGAAUGCCUAUAAAGCUAGUAAAGAUAUUCUUAAACUACUAUUGGGAUGUUGGGCUGGUUGGUAGCAAAACCCAAACCCUGCUGCUGAUUUCCGAUACCACCAUCUUGGAUAAGCCGCUCUCCCUCCUCUUCCUAACUCCUAAGCCCAAUAUCUUUCCAAAACCUUCACAACCCACUCAUAAAUCUCAUUGUUGUCGUGGAUAUGCAAAUUCUCAAUCUUUUCUACUCCAUCACACUCAUCAAUCAUUUGGGUAUAAACAUUAACCCAAUUAUCCAUUCCUAUUUCCUUGUUAACCUCACCCACCUUGAAAAUGUUCUCAAGACCCUAUAGACAAACUGUGACGAUCCUUUGGUCCAGACAAACCAGAAGAUCACAGAGCGGUUUGAUGCAACCUUGGCUCACCAGGAAUCUGCAGGACCAUGGUACCAUAAGUGAUUCUAUCACAUGAACAUCAUUAGAUUAAAAAAAGAAAAAAAAAAGAAACAUCUAUCGUAUGAACAUUGCUGAGUGAAUAAAAGAAACAUACUGAAUAUGUUCAUGAGAUCCUCCAUAUGUGGCAUUUAAGACAGGCCAUGCAGCCUCCUUGAUUUCAAGUUCUGCAUGUUGAAGAAGAGGUGCACAAAAGGAAGGAUAAGGAAGGAUGAUAUUGGCCUCCAUAACAGCCUGUUGAACAAAAAUUCGACAAAUUAUAAUUAUGAGUAUAUUUAAGUAGCAAUUUUGUCAGAAUUAACUAGACUUGACUAUUGAGGAAGUCACAUUCAAAAAUAGAAAAGACGAGCAAGCAAUUGUAUUCAUGCUAUCGGGACCAAAAUACUAUGAUGCAAGCAAGAAAGAAAAACAUACAUACAUAUAAAACACUAUCUUUGAGUUGGGUAUUUUCUUUCAAUUUUGAUAAUGGCAACUUUGGAUUCUUCUGCUGAAUUACCACCACCACCACACCAUUGUAGUUUCACAUACUAAGAAAAGGCAGGUUCAGCUCCCGUGCAUGCCCAUAAGAAUAUGAUGUAUUAAUUAGAAGUAAAAUUAAUCUGUUCAAUUAAGUUCUCUCAUAUAUUUGUGUGCGUGUGUGUGUUAAUUAGUUUGCUUUCAAAUCUUUUCUCCCUUCUUAAUGAUAUAUAUUUUAAGCAUGAUAUCAACCACGAUGAAUUUAUUAGCCGAUUUUUAAUUAUACAUUCAGCAUGAUAUCACAAACCAAGAGCUUAAGUUAGCCUAAUUCUUCAUAAAUCUAAUAAUUGCAAUCAAUAAUAAUGCUGAAAAUACGAGUUUGAAUUAAGCUAGCAACUGGUUCUUAAAUUAUGCAAUAUGUAAUCAUAGGUUUACUUAAAGAUUAAAGCAUUUCUGCAAUCCAUUGUGCAAAAAGAUUAAAAAAAAAAAAAAUAGUUGCCAAAUUUUAUCUAAAUAAAAAUUCCUUUAGUGGUUAGUACUUGUGAAUUAUAGAAAUUAUUAUUAGUACUUGCUCAGCGCUUUUUAGAUUUGUACAGGUAGAUUACGCCAUUUCAAACCCGACCAUCCAUUUAGACAUACAAAUCCCCCCAAUUCCCUGUCCUCCGCCUUUACGCGACUCUCCACUGUAUGUGCCAACUAAUUAAUUUUUUAAUUACUUGUUUAACUAAUUAAUUCAUUUUCUCAAAAGCAAGAUUAAUCUAUUUGUUCAAAUCUGAAGGAGAUUAAGUUAAUUGAUUUUAUUGUAUGUAAAAAUAUACAAAGAACUCAUGAAGCCAACUAGAAAAAAAAAAAAAGACAAAAAAAAAAUCAAACCCAGAAAUAAAAAGACAUGCUUCGACAGAAAAUUAAUGAAAAUUAUACUGAUUGUGGUUCAAUUUGAUCAAACCCAAAUAAUAACCGGUUUGAUUGAUGACUCAGCGGCAAAGUGCAGGCGCAUCAGUGGUUGCACAGAUGAGUGUUCUCGUGCGGCACGACAAAGCAAUUGUCGGCGAUUGUGAUUGGUGAUGACAUCGAGCGAUGGGGGUAAUGGCAUCGGUCGUGACUUUGUGAUGGAGAAACGAAUGUUAGAUUCGUUCGAAGAUUCGUGUUUUGAUUGAAUAACAAAGAGAGAUUUUAUGAGUUUUAAUUAUCUAAUACGAUACCGCAUAAACCCGACUCGUACGUGGGUUUAUUUUAUGCGGGUUUCGGUGUACUAAAGCAGUAAAUUUAUGUGGUGCAAUUCAAACUGAUUUCACCGCCAAAAGAUCGUGUAAAUUUAAUAUUAUACAGGGUUUUAAUACUAUGUAAUCCAAUACACCAAACAUGCCCUUAAAAACGGAUAGCAAUCCGGGGCCUUUAAAAACGGAAAAUACAAGCAGAGAAAAAGAAAAGCCAAUUGUUCAAAAGUGCCUAAUAUGCCCACGGAAAAUUUUCGUCACGACCCACAGUUACUCGAAUAGGUAAUAAGACAGGAAUGCCUUUGUUUGUUCGAAUAUAGAAGCACAAUGGCUCAGAAAGGAUCCCUCCAAUCUCCUUGGCACUGUCAGCUGGGUGCGGAGUAGCUUGGUGGCAGCAACCAUGUUUGAGAGGGCUGGCUUCACCUCAGUGUACUUGCGAGUCUUGAGACCACAGUCAGGGUUAACCCACAAAAUGUUGGUUUCUAGCACAGUACGCAUCUCGUAGAUUCUGUCAACAAUUUCUUCGGUUGAUGGUAUUCUUGGAGAGUGGAUGUCAUAGACGCCAGGGCCAAUUGCAGCAUCAUACUGGACUCCCUCACGGAAGACUGACAGGAGAUUCUCAUUAGAACGAGAGUUCUCAAUGGUGAUCACAUCAGCAUCCAUGUCGAUAAUUGAGUGGAUAAUGUCGUUGAAGUUGGAGUAGCACAUGUGGGUGUGGAUCUGUCAAUCAAUAAACAAUAGAAUGAGAUACAAAAUCAACAGCUAAAUUAAAGAGAUGAGAUUGGAGAUUAAAAGGGUAACUGACCUGGGUAGUGUCCUGGAUGCCACAGUUGGUGAUUCUGAAGGAGUGGACUGCCCAGUCCAAGUAGAAAGCAUGCUCAGAUUUCCUGAGAGGCAAUCCUUCCCUCAAGGCAGCCUCAUCAAUUUGAAUAACGUUAAUGCCUGCCUUCUCAAGAUCCUCGACUUCGUCCUUGAUGGCCAAAGCAAUCUGGUAGCAGGUUUCAUGUCUGCAAAAUUGGCAGCGAUUGAUGUUAAACAAUGUUUCCAUUCCAAAAGGUUAACCAAUAGUGAACCAGUUCUCAUUUAUAUACCUGGGCUGGUCAUUUCUGACAAAGGACCAGUUGAGAAUGGUGACAGGGCCAGUAAGCAUUCCCUUCAUUGGGCGAGCAGUCAUGCUCUGAGCCCAGGAGGACCAGAAGACGGUCAUAGCCUUGGGACGGCUCACAUCACCAUAGAUGAUGGGUGGCUUCACACAGCGAGAUCCAUAGGAUUGCACCCACCCAUUGGCAGUGAAGGCGAAACCUGAUAACUGCUCUCCAAAGUACUCAACCAUGUCGUUUCUCUACAAAAACAAAUGUCCGAAUUCAAUUUGAGAUCCAGCAUACUUCGUAUGCAAUUAGAAAUGCAGAAACAAAAAUGUAUAAAAUUUUAUGUAAUUCAAAACCAGGAGACAUUGCUUUGCUUCCAUUGGGCAUUGCGAGACUCACCUCAGGCUCUCCAUGGACAAGGACAUCAAUAUCAAGCUCUUCUUGGAGUUUGACAACCUUGUUGAUUUCCUCCUUGAUGGAAGCAACAUAUUCUUCCUCAGAAAUCCUAAAAAGGACAAAUAGUCACGGCACAGUUAAUACAGUAGUUGCAGUAAUUUCACACAUGGCAUUGAAUGAAGAAACACCUCAGAUUGACUCACUUCUUAGCCUUGUAUUCACGGCGGACUCUCCUAAGUUCAAUGGUUUGUGGGAAGGAUCCAAUUGUGGUGGUUGGGAGGAUUGGAAGAUUGAGCUUCUUCUGUUGAGCAUCUAAUCUAGCACUAACGUUUGUAGCACGUCUGUGGUCUGAUCCCCUCAAAGCAGCAGCCUAAUAGACCAAGAGGAAGGAAUCACUGUUAGCAAAAAAGGAAAUUCUAAGGGACAGCCACAUCAUAAAAAUGGAAAACAAAUCAAUCAUGCCACUUACAGCCUUUUGAACUGCCUCAUUGGUCACUCUCGGGGAGGACUUUCUUGAAGCCUGAGCUGCAGCAUUGGCAGAGAAGAAUCCCUGGAAACAAAUGAUAAGGAGAACCAAAGUUAGUCUCAUUCAUAUCAUUUUAAAAAGAAGAUACAUAUGCAAUUAGUGGGCUGAUUGUGAGAGAAAAAGUCCCCAAAACUUUAAUCAAACACCAAAUGCCCAAGUUGCCAAAUGAUGUUUAAUUCGGAAAAAUAUAUUUAAAAACAUUCAAAUAUAAUUUCCCCUUCUAAAUUUUCAUUUUCAACAACAUAUUUUACAAGCCAAGCUCAACGUCAGGCCAAGAUUUUGUGCUCCUAUAAUUAUAUUUUACCAUAAAACUAGGUCCUUGAAAGGCUAAGAUUUUCUGACUCUUGUGACUAGUCAAAGCCUAAGAUUCUUUCAAUUCAUCCGUAGUAAAAGUAUACCUCAUCCUUUUGGCCAGCCAAAGCCUUGGCCAAUGCAUUGACUUCAACAACUUUCUGGGCAGCAAAUGCCAGCCAUGACUUGAUUUCGUCGUCGAGUUUGUUCUCAUUAACAAGAUCAACAGCAGUGUGAAGAAGUGAGCAGGAGGUGGAGACCACAAGCUUGUCUGCAAAGAAAAGUAAUAAAUUAUACAACAAAUCCCAUAAUAGAAUAAGAAAUAUUUAUCACAAAGAAAAAUGCAAGCAAAGGAUGUAUACCUUUGCCAACAACACCCUCAAGCCCCCGGAGAACACUAAGAGAAGCAGCAAGAUCAUUGGCCCAAAUGUUCCUUCCAUCAACCACUCCAGCAAAGAGGUACUUGCCAGCAGGGAAUCCACUCUUGAUCAAUUCAAGGGUCUUGGUUCCACGAACCAAAUCAAAUCCAUAAGCGGUGACACCCUUCAAAGAAGUGAGGGUCUGGAAUGCCUCAGCUGGAACAUCAGCAAAGUAGGUCUCAACAAGAACAUUCAAGCCAGACAGAGUUGACUCUAGUUCCGCGUAAGCCUCACUGAAUGCUUGCAAUUUGUGUGAGUCAAGAUCCGUAACAAGCAAUGGCUCAUCAAACUGAAUCCAGGAAGCACCAGCAGCCUUAAGCUCAGAAACAACUUCCCUGCAGAAGUGUUAAUUGGUACGACACGGAUUAAUGAUGCCACACGAUACACACACACACACACACACACACACACACACACACACACACACACACACACACACACACACACACACACACACACACACACACACACACACACACACACACACACACACACACACACAGACAGAGUUAUUUAGCACAUACACGUUUAUAAAUCUGUAAAUAGGUGAUAAUUCUUACUUGUAGAUCGGAAGGAUUUUGGGAAGAAGAGAGAGAACAGAAAAGGUCUUCUCAACCCCCCAGGCAGGCUUAGACAGCAACAAGUAUGACACAGGGCCAAUAAGCACUGGGACAGUUUCAACUCCAUGCUGCAGCAUUAGACAAGUGGUAGAUAUUAGCAUCUCACAAACUUGAUCUGACUGAUAGAAAGUUACAAGCAAGUUAAGAAUAUGUUUGAUGAAAUUUCAAUGAAAAAUCUUCAGGGUCCACAACAUGUUGACUAUACCCUUUUUAAGUAAUUUAUCUUAAGACUAUUUUGCAAACAGUAUUGCUUCCCUUUACAGAUCAAAUAAAUCAUACAACAUCUGAACGCAUUUCCUGAGCCAAAUAUAAGUUCAAAGCUCUAUAAUAAAUGUCAAUGACUCUAUAGUAAAUUCCAUCACAUUCUGAGCUAUGGAUGAGCAUAUCAUAUGCCAAUUUCAAGUUGAACGUAACCCAAUUUCAACAUAUUGUAGAUUCAAGUAUCAAACGAAAAAAAAAAUAUUGUAAAUAUAGACAGAACUGAGAACAAACACUCACCCCCUUAGCCUCCUUGUACUCAGUCACAGCCUUGUGGGAAGCGUAGGAGAACUUAACAUCGGGUCCCAAUUCAGGAACAAUGAAAUGACUGCAUCAACACGAAGCCAAACACACGUCAGCAUUCAGUACAAAACCAUUACACCAUAACUAACUUGAAAUGCCGCUCUUCCAAGUAGUGAAUACUUACUAGUUGGUGUCGAACCACUUGGUCAUUUCCAUUGCGAGAACAGAGGCGUUUCCUCUGGCCAUGGAGAAGUAAACAUCGAAUCCAAUCUCGCCGCCGUUCCAGUUAAACCUCGGGGGCACGGCACCGAGCAUUGCGGUGGUGUCGAGCACUUGGUCGUAGUAGGAGAAAGUGUUGCUGGGAAUGUAUUUGAUCCCGGCCUCGGACAUCUGUUUCCAGAUGGAGGAUCUGAGAUCAGCGGACACCUUUUGCAAAUCCUCGGCGCUGCUCUUGCCAUCCCAGAAGGAUUCCAACGCGAACUUGAGCUCCCUCUUGGGGCCCAUGCGUGGGUAACCAACGAUGUGAGAUGCCAUUUUACUGUCAUAAUCACGUCAUCAAUGAAUCGAAAAUCAGUCCCUUCCAUUAAAUCAAGAAAUUAUUAAUUCAAAUGAAUGGAUCACAUUGUAUAUAUAUGGGAUAAAUAUAAUUAUGAACAAAAGCGUCUAAUCAAUCACAAAAAGCAAGCGACUGCAUCAAAUUUAGGGAUCCGACCCGACCCGACCCGAUCUGUAAAUUCCGGUUUCAAUCGGAUUAAGAUGAAACCUCUAACCCGAUAUAGUUGGAUUUUGGCCAACUCGAUCGGAUCAGAUCGGAUCGGAUUAAACUUAGUCCAAUCCGAAAAAUUCAAAAAAUCAAAACUACAAUAAGUAUAAAUCUAAAUUUUCAAUUCAAUUUGAUCUAAUCUGAAUAUAUUCGAAUCGGAUCAAAUACUAUGCUCUGCUUAAACUUGGAUUAUAUUUUUUUCAAUUUGAUUAACCUAAAAUUCGAUUGGAUAGAUCCAAAACUGAAUUUAUCUACCCCUCAGUCAUCAAUCAAUUACAAAACCUAAAAUCCGAUUGGAUAGAUCCGAAACUGAAUUUAUCCACCCUUAAGUCAUCAAUCAAUUACAAAGGCGACUGAUGUUUAUACAAUGGACAAUUAUUAAGUUACAGCUCUUGUAAUUUACAACUUAUACAAAAAUAUGUGAAAAAUUGUGAUAGGCAGUACAGUGUCAUGAUUUUAUACAAAAAUAUGUAAACAAUUGUGAUAGACGGUAGAACCUCAUGAUUUUAUAAAAAAUACGUAAAAAGUUGGGAUAAGUAAUGGAGCCCGCAUAAUUUUUUAUCAGCUGCAAGUUGCAAGUUACAGCAACUGUAACUUAGCGACCCCGACUUCAAUGUAAAAUGAGAAAGUACUCCUCCGCAUAGUACCUGAUGCUCAAAAGUCAAAUCACACGAAAUGCAAAUAGACUUAUCAGAGCAUAAAACCUUAUAUUACUUUUUGAAAAACGAUUUGAAACAAGGGCAAAAUUACAGUGUAACCGUACUUAGUCAUUGAAUUCAGCUCACAAUUAUCAUUAUAGUUAGAUCUAAUAACUAGAUCCAACUGUAUCCACAGUUAUAUUGUAGUUAGAUCUGAUAACUAAAUCCAGAUCCAGCUGUCCCCACAAUUGUCAUUAUAGUUAGAUCUAAUAAUUAGAUUCGGCUGAUUCAGCUGUGAUGUAGUACCCUGUAGUGCCAUAACUGGACAAAGAAACAAACUGAUAUAUUUUCUUUUUUGAAACAAACUGAUACUAAUCCAAGAGUUUCAGAUGAUCGGUUUUUUUUUUUUUUUCUAUAGUCACAUCAAUAAUUAAGUACUUUCAGUCAUUUUCGAAGGAUUAAAACGAAAACUCUAAAAAAAUUCUGAGAAUGAAGAAUCCGAAAAUAGAUUCAGAAAUAGUAACACAAGUAGAGGUCAGAUUGUUUUUUGGAAAAGAUUAAUUGCAGAUCUGAUGAACUCAAGUCUAGAUCUAGCAAAAUCACGGCAGCCAAACACUAGAUCUAAGACUAACAGUCACUCACCAGUCGAUCAGAAAGUGAAAUCAAGUUCAAAAUUCUUUUUUUUUAAUAGAUCCAAAAGCUAAUAUACAUAUAUAUAUGGCAAAAUAUAUAUACCGUACCCGAGAAGGACGAGCAGAGAAAUUAAGCUUUUUUCGAGAGAACGAGAAAGAAGAGAGACGAGACUGUUAGAAAUUGCUGUCAGUUUAAUUUUUAUUUAUAGCCAAAAACCUAACCUUGUUUAGUGGUUACUGGUUACCGUCUUCGGCGGUGUUGAUCUGAGAUUUAUCAUUUUAAUUUCUUUCUCUUACUUAUUUAUUUAAUUUGGGUCCAACUACGGUGAAACUGUAGUACCGUGCUACAGUUAUUUUCAACCGUUUGAUUCACUUGGAUGGUGGGAUCCAAUAAAAUCCAAUAACUGGGUGCAACCGUAGCACGGUGCCGCAGUUGCACCACAGUUUUUCCCAUUUAUUUAUUAUGCUUUCAGUGCAGUUGGCAAAAACAUGGAGCUUACGCGCGCUUUUCUGAUGUGGCGCGUGAAUUGGAAAUGUGGUAGAUCUUUGUGGAUCCGCCGGUGCAGUGAAGAGUGAAGGAAAAAAGAGAAAAGUUAUCAUGCCAGAUCAUUUGAAGAGAGCCGCAAUUAGUAAUUACACCACAAUAUAUUUCUGAUUAUUUGCUUACUUUGAUGAUGUUUUUACUGAUUAGUAAUUGGAAUAUGUUAGAAUCUAAAUAUAGUAGAAUCAUAAUAGAGUUGAAUCAAAAUAGACUAUAAUUAGAAUGGAUAAUGGGAAUUAGAAGAAUUAUUUGCUUUAGUUGUGAGAAUCCAAAUUGGAAUGAACUAUAUUGUCGUUGAUAUGUUUACUUUAUCAUAGAAUAUGAAUGAAUUAUUACAAGUUACUAAACAGACCUUAAGUUGAUUAUUGUCAUUAUUUAUUUAUUUAUUAUUAUUAUUAUUAUUAUCAUCAUCAUCAUCAUCAAAAUUAUUAAUCUUAUUAUUAAUGUUAAUUAUAAUAAUUAAUAAUUAUAAUAGUAUUAUAAUAAUAAUAAUAAUAAAAGCAAUCAUAAAAUGAGAAUUUCAAGAUUUAAGUAGAGAUAAUAUAAUUAUUUUAGAAAAUGAGAAUUUCCAUGAGAAUGUGAACUCUAUUAAUCAUUCCCAAUUUGAAGUGGGGCCUGCCAUUUUGAUUCAAUCUCUCAUUUAAGCAAGUAAAUACGACAUUUAUUCUCAUUCCCUCAUUCCCACUCUCAGGUAGCGUUUGUUUUUUAACUUAAUGACUUAAAGUGACUUAACUUAAUUAAUUAAGUUAAUUAGAGGUGUUUAUUUUUAUAACUUAAUGAGACUUUUUAGAUAAUUUUGACUUAAUAAAAUGAGCCAAUUUUUUUUGGCUUUUUACUUAAUGGAGAAAUUUGAAUUUAGUCAAUUACUUACUAAUGUCAAAAAUAUCUAUGUUUUAUAAUUUAUUUUUCAUGUCUAUCCCAAAACUCACCCAUAGACAUUUACCCCACAUAAAAAUAUCCCUAUUUUUUCUUUCUUAUAUUAUAUACGAUAAAAUUUGAAAUUUAUGGUAUUUUAUAUAUUAAAAUUCUAAAAUAAUUAUGUAUUCACUUGAAUAUAGUUUUACUUAUAACUGUUAAAAUAUUGUGGUAUUUAAUAUAUUAUUUAUUUGACAUUAAAAUUUAAUAAGGAUACAAAUGUAAAAGUACAUAUUUUCAGUUUUUUCAGUUAAAAAAAAAGCAACUUAAUACUUAUUUUUCGAGAUUCAGACGAAAAAAUAAACAUAUUAUUCAUAUUCAGACAUUUAGAUAUAUUCAGAAUUCAAACUAAUUCAGGUCUAUUCAGAUUUUAGACAAAAAAAACAAACGCCACCUCAAUCAAUAAACACACCAUAAAUGUAGAGUUGUUACUAUUAGAAUACAUUAUAAUUCAUCACAAUUAUGAUAGGUAUAUACGUGUGUAAUAAUUUAUAUAAGAUGCUAAAUUUUGAAAAUAAUAAAAAAUCAUUUAUACAUAUUUAAAAAAAUCAUUAAUACAUUAAAAUGUGCAUCACAUAUACAUUUACAUAAUAGCAAUGACCAUAGUAUAAAAAAAACUCCUAAAAGAGAACGACUUCGUUAUUUAUGUUAUUUUAUAUAUUUUUAAUUGAUUAUUAAAAGGAUCAAUUGUUAAUUAUUAUUCUCCAAACAUAAUCACCGUUAAACAUUUAUUCAAUUUAACAAUAGGUAGAUGUUAAAUAAUAUUGGAAUAUUUAAUGAACAAUAUAAUCACUAUUGCAGUUGUUUUUUUUUUUUAGUAAUGGAUUAUUCGAAACUCAAAUUCAUUUUUUAGCCCCCUUACCUCUCUUAAAAUUCAAAUUUAAGUGACUAAACAAAUAAAACUGCUUAAAAUCUAUACGACUACAUCUUUGGGGACCAAUUAAUAUGGAUGUUUAAAUCUUGAUUUAUUAUUAAAUCUUUGAGUUUCAACCACUAAUAACAUCAUCAUCGAUUAAUGACAAAUAAAAUAAUACAUCAUCAAAACCAUUAAACACGUCCAUCAAUAUCAAAAACAAGUAAAAAGUUUAGCAUGUAUUUCAAAUAUACUUUUCAUCCCAAAAGUUGUAGAGAAAGUCUCGAUAUCAAUGUCACUAUGAGACGUAAUUUUAUAUUUAAAGUCAGCGCAACUUAAAAAUUACUAUGAAUGAAUAAUACACCAUAAAAAAAUUAUUUAUAAGUAUUUUCAUCAUGUAUUUUUAUUUAACAAUGGUGACAUUUAUUUUUUAACUUAAUGACUUAAAGUGGCUUAACUUAAUUAAUUAAGUUAAUUUUAGGUGUUUGUUUUUAUAACUUAAUAGGACAUUUUAGAUAAUUUUGACUUAAUAAAAUAGGCCAAUUUUUUUUAACUUUUUACUUAAUAGAGAAAUUUGAAUUAAGUCAGUUACUUUCUAAUGUAAAAAAAUAUUCCUACUUUAUAAUUUAUUUUUCAUGCAUAUUCAAAAACUCACCCAUAGAUAUUUACCCCACAUAAUCUCAUCUUUAUUUUCUUCCAGCCGUCAUGGAAUCCCUCCUCACUUUGCUUCUCUCCUCUAGUUCUUGAAUCUCCCUUUAAUUUCUCGCUAGGCAAAGCACUUGAAUUGGGCUUUUUUUUUUUCCUUUUCAAUUACGUUUUCCAACAUUCACUUAUAUAAUAAUCAACUAGUUGCUACUCUUUUUAGUGAUAAAAUUUGAAAUAUGGUAUUUUAUAUAUUAAAUUUUCAAAAUUAUGUAUUCACUUAAAUGUAGUUUUACUUAUAAAUAUUAAAAUAUUAUGUUAUUUAAUAUAUUAUUUAUUUGACAUUCAAAUUUAAUAAGGAUAUAAAUGUAAAAGUACAUAUUUUUAAUUUUUUAAGUUGAAAAAAUAACUUAAUAUUUAUUUUCAGAUAUUCAAAUAAAAAAUAUAUUAUUUAAAUUCAAAAAUUUAAAUCUAUUCAAAAUUUAAAGUAAUUCAGGUCUAUGCAUAUUUCAAUCAUAAAAACAAAUGCCACAUGAGUCAUUCAAUUUCUAAUUAAGAGGAUAAAAAAUAGAUUUGGACUAUCCUAAGACAAAAACAAAAAAAAAAACAAAAAUAAGAUUUCCUAAUAAGUGUACUAACGUGGUCACGCGCCUUGAGAAACGCUUGGACCUAACACACUAUUUUAAUCCGAUAUGCAAAAAAAGAAAAAAAAAAAAAAGGAAAAAUUAUGAGAUGUAUAAGUUUCUAGAGACGUGUUAAAUUUUGAUGAAACAAUGAAGAAAGUCGGUGGCCGAAGUUGGUAUGGGGCAAUGCGAAUGGUGGUUGGCCCACGUUGCCCUGUAAUUGGAGUUGUUAUAAUUUUUCUUAUAAUUAAUAGGACUUGACACAGACUGCAGCAUCAGCCGUUGGAUGUGGAGGGAGAAACUAAACAAUAGAAAACCGUAUGGUGGGAUGACGGUAGAUGUUUGUUACAGAAACUGUACCAUAGACAGGUCCUAAUUAAUAAGCUCUACGUUUUGAAACAAUAAAUAAACUCCAGAUGACCAAAAUAUCAUUUCAUACUGCUACCUAGACAUCUUGGCGAGGGUGGGUAAUGUGGGGCCCGGAGCUUGUUUGAUCGUCAAUUAUUCUCUGGUUUGGUGAAACGAAUGGACGGACGAUGGUGAUGGCUUUUAGGAGAUUAGUAUUAUUAUUAUUAUUAUUAUUAUUACAUUGAGAUCGUAAAACAAAAAAUUCAAUUAAUAAUAUAAAAUAUUUAUUUAAUUUAUUAAUUAUUAUAUAUACACAAUAAAAAAAUUUAUAUACAUAUUUAUAAAUGUGUAAAUAAAUUUCAUUCAAUAUUAUAUCCAAUUAAUCAUUUAUAUUUUUCUGCUGUACCGUACAUCCGCCUUGGCCGUACAGCAGUAAAGCUGCUGAUGCUUUAUCGCGAAUUCAUGAGGAAAAUGUGAUUGAAGAACCCAAACCAACAACUCUUUGUUUGUCGUUAGACAUUUACCCCACAUAAAAAUAUCCCUAUUUUUUCUUUCUUAUAUUAUAUACGAUAAAAUUUGAAAUUUAUGGUAUUUUAUAUAUUAAAAUUCUAAAAUAAUUAUGUAUUCACUUGAAUAUAGUUUUACUUAUAACUGUUAAAAUAUUGUGGUAUUUAAUAUAUUAUUUAUUUGACAUUAAAAUUUAAUAAGGAUACAAAUGUAAAAGUACAUAUUUUCAGUUUUUUCAGUUAAAAAAAAAGCAACUUAAUACUUAUUUUUCGAGAUUCAGACGAAAAAAUAAACAUAUUAUUCAUAUUCAGACAUUUAGAUAUAUUCAGAAUUCAAACUAAUUCAGGUCUAUUCAGAUUUUAGACAAAAAAAACAAACGCCACCUCAAUCAAUAAACACACCAUAAAUGUAGAGUUGUUACUAUUAGAAUACAUUAUAAUUCAUCACAAUUAUGAUAGGUAUAUACGUGUGUAAUAAUUUAUAUAAGAUGCUAAAUUUUGAAAAUAAUAAAAAAUCAUUUAUACAUAUUUAAAAAAAUCAUUAAUACAUUAAAAUGUGCAUCACAUAUACAUUUACAUAAUAGCAAUGACCAUAGUAUAAAAAAAACUCCUAAAAGAGAACGACUUCGUUAUUUAUGUUAUUUUAUAUAUUUUUAAUUGAUUAUUAAAAGGAUCAAUUGUUAAUUAUUAUUCUCCAAACAUAAUCACCGUUAAACAUUUAUUCAAUUUAACAAUAGGUAGAUGUUAAAUAAUAUUGGAAUAUUUAAUGAACAAUAUAAUCACUAUUGCAGUUGUUUUUUUUUUUUAGUAAUGGAUUAUUCGAAACUCAAAUUCAUUUUUUAGCCCCCUUACCUCUCUUAAAAUUCAAAUUUAAGUGACUAAACAAAUAAAACUGCUUAAAAUCUAUACGACUACAUCUUUGGGGACCAAUUAAUAUGGAUGUUUAAAUCUUGAUUUAUUAUUAAAUCUUUGAGUUUCAACCACUAAUAACAUCAUCAUCGAUUAAUGACAAAUAAAAUAAUACAUCAUCAAAACCAUUAAACACGUCCAUCAAUAUCAAAAACAAGUAAAAAGUUUAGCAUGUAUUUCAAAUAUACUUUUCAUCCCAAAAGUUGUAGAGAAAGUCUCGAUAUCAAUGUCACUAUGAGACGUAAUUUUAUAUUUAAAGUCAGCGCAACUUAAAAAUUACUAUGAAUGAAUAAUACACCAUAAAAAAAUUAUUUAUAAGUAUUUUCAUCAUGUAUUUUUAUUUAACAAUGGUGACAUUUAUUUUUUAACUUAAUGACUUAAAGUGGCUUAACUUAAUUAAUUAAGUUAAUUUUAGGUGUUUGUUUUUAUAACUUAAUAGGACAUUUUAGAUAAUUUUGACUUAAUAAAAUAGGCCAAUUUUUUUUAACUUUUUACUUAAUAGAGAAAUUUGAAUUAAGUCAGUUACUUUCUAAUGUAAAAAAAUAUUCCUACUUUAUAAUUUAUUUUUCAUGCAUAUUCAAAAACUCACCCAUAGAUAUUUACCCCACAUAAUCUCAUCUUUAUUUUCUUCCAGCCGUCAUGGAAUCCCUCCUCACUUUGCUUCUCUCCUCUAGUUCUUGAAUCUCCCUUUAAUUUCUCGCUAGGCAAAGCACUUGAAUUGGGCUUUUUUUUUUUUCCUUUUCAAUUACGUUUUCCAACAUUCACUUAUAUAAUAAUCAACUAGUUGCUACUCUUUUUAGUGAUAAAAUUUGAAAUAUGGUAUUUUAUAUAUUAAAUUUUCAAAAUUAUGUAUUCACUUAAAUGUAGUUUUACUUAUAAAUAUUAAAAUAUUAUGUUAUUUAAUAUAUUAUUUAUUUGACAUUCAAAUUUAAUAAGGAUAUAAAUGUAAAAGUACAUAUUUUUAAUUUUUUAAGUUGAAAAAAUAACUUAAUAUUUAUUUUCAGAUAUUCAAAUAAAAAAUAUAUUAUUUAAAUUCAAAAAUUUAAAUCUAUUCAAAAUUUAAAGUAAUUCAGGUCUAUGCAUAUUUCAAUCAUAAAAACAAAUGCCACAUGAGUCAUUCAAUUUCUAAUUAAGAGGAUAAAAAAUAGAUUUGGACUAUCCUAAGACAAAAACAAAAAAAAAAACAAAAAUAAGAUUUCCUAAUAAGUGUACUAACGUGGUCACGCGCCUUGAGAAACGCUUGGACCUAACACACUAUUUUAAUCCGAUAUGCAAAAAAAGAAAAAAAAAAAAAAGGAAAAAUUAUGAGAUGUAUAAGUUUCUAGAGACGUGUUAAAUUUUGAUGAAACAAUGAAGAAAGUCGGUGGCCGAAGUUGGUAUGGGGCAAUGCGAAUGGUGGUUGGCCCACGUUGCCCUGUAAUUGGAGUUGUUAUAAUUUUUCUUAUAAUUAAUAGGACUUGACACAGACUGCAGCAUCAGCCGUUGGAUGUGGAGGGAGAAACUAAACAAUAGAAAACCGUAUGGUGGGAUGACGGUAGAUGUUUGUUACAGAAACUGUACCAUAGACAGGUCCUAAUUAAUAAGCUCUACGUUUUGAAACAAUAAAUAAACUCCAGAUGACCAAAAUAUCAUUUCAUACUGCUACCUAGACAUCUUGGCGAGGGUGGGUAAUGUGGGGCCCGGAGCUUGUUUGAUCGUCAAUUAUUCUCUGGUUUGGUGAAACGAAUGGACGGACGAUGGUGAUGGCUUUUAGGAGAUUAGUAUUAUUAUUAUUAUUAUUAUUAUUACAUUGAGAUCGUAAAACAAAAAAUUCAAUUAAUAAUAUAAAAUAUUUAUUUAAUUUAUUAAUUAUUAUAUAUACACAAUAAAAAAAUUUAUAUACAUAUUUAUAAAUGUGUAAAUAAAUUUCAUUCAAUAUUAUAUCCAAUUAAUCAUUUAUAUUUUUACAGCGGUUUAAUAAUAAUAUUUACUAAAUACAUAUGAUUAUUUUUAAAAUUCACAGUAUUUUUAAAAAUAAAUUUUAUAAAAUUUUUAACUAAUUUUCUUUACAACUAACUAUUGAACGGUUUAACUAAUAGUAAUUAUUUUUAAAAUUAUAGUAUUAUCAAAUUAGUCCUAUGUCAAAUUUGUUAUUGCUGUUUUUUUUUUAAUUAAAAAAUUACAUAGUGCAUACGUGCAUAAUAUGCCCAACUCAAAAAUUCACACAAAAUAUACUAUUUAACUUUAAGGCUUUAAUUGAAAAAAAAAAUUAAGAUUAAGAUGAAUAAAUACUAGAACAUAACAAAUAGAUAAACUCUCCCAUUCUUUAAAAAGAUUAAUUUUAUUUUAAACUUACACUUCGAAUUCAAAGUAGACAUUGAUUGAUAAAAUUAUACAAACGGAUCAAUAUUCCUACAUUUUCUUUUUAAUUUCAAAACCAACAGAUAUUGUUUGUUCAUUAUAUGACCUCCAAACAAAUAAUUUCAUUAAUAAAAUAAUAAUGAAAAGUGUCGUGAUGGGUAUAGAGUAAUUAGGUGGCUAAGUUUCUACUUUUCAUUCUAACUCUUGAGGUUGGUAGGCGCGUGGGUGGUCCACAAAACCCGUGGACGGUAGCAUUCAAACAAAGACUGGAGGCACCAGAAAAAUGUCCAAAAAGUGUGAAACCGUGACGUGUUCAACAUGUUAAUAAAUUUAGGCAAAUGUUAAAGUUACGGAGCUGGCUACGUUACAGAAACUGUACGUAACAGCCAUGCAUUUUUUAUUCGUUGGAUCUAGAGACUGAAAUUGGAUGGUUGGGAUUAAAGGCCAGAAUAGAAAUUAAUCACGGGCAACCGUUUUUAACAUUUAGAAGGGUUUAUUUUCAUGCACACCCAAAUAUUUUGACAAAUAUCAAUAUGCACCCAGUAACUUUUUAUGUAAAACCACAUAACCGACCCGUUAACUUUUCUACUAUUGAAUUAAAAAACUAUCAUGCCUCAAUUGAAUUAAAUUGAUCAGGUAAAAUAUCUUUUAUAACUUGUCAAUUUUUACAGUGAAAUAUACGAGUAUUUAGUAAAAUCAAAUUUAUUUUUUAUUCAGUAAUCAAAUUUUUUUAUUUAGUGAAAUCAAAAUUAUUUUUCUUUAGUUGUAAGAUUUUUUUAACAAAAAAAUUCUAAAAUCAGAUUUAACUCAUUUACUAUUUUAAAAAAUGAACUUUUUACUAACCAAACUAGAGUUUAUCUUUAGUCAACAUAUUUUUUUCUCUAAAAUAACCUUUGAUAGAAUUACUUAUAUAAACAUGUCAGUAUCAAAAUUACUUCAUAUUUUACCAUCCAUCAAUUUAAACUAGUGUGAAAUUUUUUUAGUUUGAUAUUGAAAAUAUGAUAGUUGAUGAGAGAAAUCUAAUUCAAAUUUACAGAUAGAAUAGUUUCUUAUAAUUGCGUACAUGGUAUAUCAAAAAUAUUUUUUUGUGAGUUUUUAAAAAAAUUGUGUCACAAGAUGAAAUUAUCUCUUGAUUUUUCAAUUCCUGGAAUUUAUGUAAAACAAUAAACACAAGUAAAUCUUUUGGUUUGUGACUUCUUGAAGGAAUGUUUGGGAACGCACAAGUUCCUCUCUCCUUCAAAAAGAAUGAUAAGUGCAAAUACCAACCUAGAAAAUUGAUUUAUAAUUCAAAGAAGAUUUGAUUGAAGAUGAUUAAUUGAAAUUUAUCUUUGCAUGAUGUCAAACAUUUUUCAAAAUGACUAAGUCAAGUCUCUUUGUUAAUUCAAAUCAAGAAAAAUUAGAAAAAUAUUAAUGCAUAGAAAUUCUACUAAGAGUUAUUUAUGAAAUUCUCAAACGAAUAGAAAUUAAAUUAACAUUUUUAAAUUUUAGUUAUGGGUUUAUUUUAAAAAUGGGUUUAGAAAGAAAUUUGAGGGGUUUAAAGAACCCCGCCCUUUCUUUAAUUAUUCGGUGAAUUUGAAAUAUAUUAAUAAGGUAUAAGAAUAUGUUAUUCUAAUCUUCUUAUGCAAAAUCUAUGCAAUUAAAAAAAAAUUCACCAAACGGUAUUUGUCUUUUUAUUGACAUUUAAUAAUAUUGAUGGCAAAUAUAUACAAUUAUCAAUCAAUUGUUAUCAACUAUUCAAGAUAACUGAAAAACUAAUUGCGUGAAGUUGGAGUAAUGAUUGUUUGAAUUGCCAAGAGUUUUUUUUUAAUAGAAACUAUUGCAAUUCAUAUCAUUAAAAAACUUAAAGACUACAAGUCGAAUAAAAAAUCUUUCCUUAUAAAAGAAUUUGACCAACUCAAAGUACAGUGUUAAAUCCUUGAGAUACAAUGAACCUAAAAAUCCUACUUUGACACACCACAAAUAAUGAAUCUAACUUAACAAUCAAUGGAGAUAAAUCAAUUUUACUAGCAAAAUAUAAGCCAAAACACAAGGCAACGUCUUCACCAAAAUCAAUAUCAUUCAAAUAAUUCCCCUUGUGAACGCCUGAAGCUAUCAUAAAAACAACAAAAAAUAAAAAAAUAAAAACAAGUAGACAAGCAAAAAAAUUCCCCAAUAACAAGUUACCCUACAAAACUUUUCCUUGUAGAACAUACACAGAAACCGCAGCUAUAGGGCUAUCGAAAGUAGGGAUGGCAAUGGGGAGGGGAGGGGAGGGGACCAAUCUCCCCAUACCCAUCCCCGAUAUUUUGCGUAUGUCCCCGUCCCCGUCAGAAUUGCUUGAGAGAAUCUCCAUCCCCUCCCCGAAUAAUAACAGGGGAUCCCCGAGGGUCCCCGGUCUUUGGAAAAGCUAGGAAAGAAAAGGGACGUGAAAAACAAAGGGGGUAGAUUUUUUGAAGGGGAAAGAAAAAGAAACCCUAGAUCUAAAUUUUUCUCUUCUCUCUAUGAAGAACUAAACCUAUUAUUCUGGUUGAAGAUUAAUAAAGCUUUGGUUCAUCAUUACUGUGAGAUCUUUCUUAUGCUUUAAUUGUUUUAUUGCUUUUUGGGUAUUUGUUUAUUCUCUAAAUUAUUGUCAUGAUUAUAUUUGUUAAUUAGAUAAUUGGCCACUAUUUAAUUAUCAACUUAAUCUAUUGUCAAUUAAAAGAUUCAUCGUAUGAAGAUUUUAAUAUUUGUGACAAAUAGCAUAGCAGUGCGUUGUGUUAUGAGAAUAAACAAUCUAAUUUAAAUGAACCAUCGUAUGCGUUUGUUGAUUAGGAUUUGGGUCUCUCUGAUUUUUCAGGUUGUCAAUUAAUUAAAUCCUAUGAUUGUAUCUAGGGUUAUCUAUUAAUUAGGGAAAUAACCAAUGGUCGUACCUUAGUUAUCGACUAGUUAAAGAGAGAUUGGCUAUUAAAGGGUCUCAGUAGCUAGGGAUGGCAAAAAUCCCCACGGGGACGGGCACCCUCGGGGAUUUUCCCCAUUCGGGGAGGGUACGGGGAUAAUUUUAUACCCAAUUUUUUUUUCGGGGAGGGGACGGGGAAAAUUUUUUACCCAAUUUUUUAUUCGGGGAGGGGACGGGGAUGAGGUGGAAUCCCCAUCCCCUACCCAUUUCCCCAUUUUAAUUUUUAUUUUUUAUUUUUAAAAUUACUAAUAAAUAUAUAACAAAAUUAUAAAUAUUGGCAAGAUAUGAGUGGAAUUUUGGGUGUGACAUGUAUAUUUGAUCCAAGGUAUAAAAAGAAGUUCAUUGAAUAAUACUUUUCUUUUUAUUUUUAAAAUUACUAAUAAAUAAAUAACAAAAUUAUAAAUAUUGUUAAAAAUAAUAAAUAUCAAAAUAGUUGUAUGUUGGGAAAGUGGUCACCCCUUACCAGGAAUUAGUGGAAGAGUAUCAAUUGAAGUUUUCACCAAUUGUUUAUUGCUUUGAUUAUACUGGUUGUAGUUCUUCUAUUAGAUCUACAGGGGAUUCUUAUAAGAAAGCAACCAAAUGGAUGACAUGUUUUGAUGAUUAUGUAAACAAUGGAGAUUGUGCAGUUGUUGCAGAUGAAUUAGAUUCAUAUUUGGAUGAAAAAGUUAUACCCCGGAUGGAAGAUUUUAAUAUUUUGAGUUGGUGGAAGACAAAUGCUAAUAGGUAUCCUACAUUAGCUCGAAUUGCUACAGGACGAGCAGGAGGUAAAUAGUUUUAUUAAAAAUAUUAAUUAAGUAUCUACAUUUAUUUCAUUUAUUUUAUUGCCGAUGUAAAAAAUAUUUUUUUUUUCUUUUUAUUGUAGGAUUAUGAAGAUUGAGACAUUGAUAAAGAUAAUUAUUUUAAUAAUUUAUAUUUUGAAUGUGACUUUGUAAUGGAUCAAUAUUAAUGUAAGAUAUAUUUUAAACUUUAUUUUUAUCUGAAUUUUUUAUUUUAAUAUGAUUAAUUUAAAAUCAAAAAUAAAAAAAUGUAUUAGACUAUUAAUUAUUCGGAGACCGGGGACCCUCGGGGAUCCCCUGUUAUUAUUCGGGGAGGGGAUGGGGAUUCUCUCAAGCAAUUCUAACGGGGACGGGGAGGGGACGGGGACAUACGCAAAAUAUCGGGGAUGGGUAUGGGGAGAUUAGUCCCCUCCCCUCUCCUCCCCAUUGCCAUCCCUAGAUUUUUGCCAUCCCUAUCGAAACCUCUACCCACCACUAUUAGAGUUAAAAAAAUCUCUGAUAUGAGUGUAUUCUUCUAAUUUGAACUCUAACGUGAUUUUUUGAGAGAUUCAUUGGAAAAAAACCUUAAGGAGUUAAAGAAGAAAUUUAAAAAAAAAAUCAUAAAAAGAGGAAUGAAAAGAAAAAGAUGCUUUACCAAGAGUUGAUUGACAGUAAUUGGUAAAUUUGAGCAUGCAAUAAAAUUUACCCAUAUAUUCAUAUGACAUAAAAUAUAAUUUUAUUCAUUAAUUACACUACUAAUUUGUCUAAAUUUUAGUUUUUAAAAAAAUAAAUUUCUAUAUAUUUACAUAAAUCUUAGUUUUUAUAAAAAUAAAUUGAAAAAUAAAUUUAUGUUUUUAUAAAAAUAAAUUUAUGUUUAUUUUUUUACAUUGACCUGAAGAAAAGACUAGUACUACUAAGCUGCUGUACGGCCAAGGCGGAUGUACGGUACAGCAGCAAUUUGACUGUUUGGGGGUGGGGUUGAUGGCUUACAUCAAAGUUAGUGUGUGCUAAGGAUUAACAAUAAUAAUGGGGUAAAUAUGAAAUUAAUCCUUGCCCAAGCAUUAGAAGUUCGUCGGUUUUCUUUUAACCGGAUAAUUACCGGUGAAUAUGUCACGCGUUCCUACACGUGGCAGCAUCUAAUUUAUUCGCUUGUCAUUUCAGUUUCUGUUAGUUACAGUUUCUGUAACGUAGCUAGCUCCGUCAGGUACAGGCAUGUUGUAACUUACGUUUCUCGUAAAAAUCAUAUAAGUUCUAUUUCUACCGCUAGGGUGAGCAUGGGUUGAUUUGGAUUAAAUUUUAAGUUAAUUUAAAUUAAAUUAUAAAAAUUUGGGUGUAAUCUAAAUUAAUUUAAAUAUUUUUAACAUAACUCAUGGGUUGGUUAAAUCAAACUAUAAAAAUUUGGUCCAACUCAAAUUAACUCAAAUAUUUUCAACACAACCCAAAGCAACUCAGUUGGAUUUUAUUAAAAUUAUAAUAAUUAUUAAUUGUUUUUAAACCAACCAUUUUGAGUUUGGUUUGGAUUUUAUUAUCAAAAUAUAUUUUUUAUUUUGAGAAAUUUAAUUUUAUCAAAAUUAUAAUAAUUAUUAAUUGUUAUUACUUAUUAAAUUGAUAAUAACAUAUAAAAAUUAUAAUUCAUAAAAAUUAUAAAUAACAAAUUUUACAAUAACUUAAUCCUUAAAUUAAAGAAUACUAGAAAAUUAAAAUAAAGUUUAAUCACAAAAAUCAUUAUUUAUCAAUAAAUAAGAAAAUUCUAAUAAAAAACUUCUACAAGCACGAUAUCGACAAGUAAAUUCAAAGAAAGAAAGAAAGAAAGAAAAGACUAGUACUACUAAGUAUUAACCCUAUUACAACACAAACUCUAACAAUGUCCAUACAAAUAAAAAAAAAUAAGACAUUCUAACUCAAGUGUCAAAGCAAUCCAUCAUAAUCAUUUCCAUCCGUAGUACUUUAAUCGAGAGAUUCCACGAUUAACUGACAAAAUGUAUGACAAUGAUAAUUUACAUUGAUUAUGACAUAAUAGAGAUGGAUUUGUCAAAGCCAAAUCAUUUGCUGGAAAGGAAUUUAGUUGAAGUAGGAACCAAAAUUCAACUUAGAUGGAUCUAUAAAAUUGGUCAUUCAAUACAUAAGUACUUUAUCAACAGAUUCAACACAUUAUAAAUUUAUGGAUUCAACUAAGUUACAACCAGCUGCAACUUAUUCCUCUCACAUAAACAAUAAUACAGCGGUAGGCUAUAUUAUUUACAAAAAGUACUUAUGUAUUGAAUGACCAAUUUUAUUACCUGCAAAAUUAAUUAAUCUUUCACUCUAUCAUCUAACUAAUGGAAGGCAAUCUUAUUUUAGGUUGUAAUGAUUAGAAACUAGCAGGAAGUGGGGGCGAUGCUCCAUAUUAAUUUGGAUAAAUCCCUUUCUAGUGAAGAAGUUAAAAUUAUAAAAUAGAGAUCAAGAUAGAAAUUUAAAGGCCCCGAUUGUUUUUUACAGACUUAAAAAUGAUAUUGAAAAAUUAAAAGCUAAUUUUAGUAUUUAAAAAUUACUUUAAGAAAAAUCACCCUAUCUUCCUGUAAAUUUUGAAAAGCAUGAAAAGAGCAGUUUUUCAAAAAUUGAUUUCGAAAAUUAGUUUCAUACUUAAUACAAUUCCAUAUAUCCUAACAUUUAUUAUAAAAAUUCAAAUUAUCCUUAUUAAAUUAGGAAAUAAAGUCAGUACAUUUAAAUAAGAGUGAUGAUAUAGACACAAACUCUUGUACCAACUGACGUAGCAUUAAUUUAUUAGUUGAAUGAAAAUAUAAAAUAAUAUAAAUAAAUCAUGUGGGCCAAGAAAUAUUUAAUUUAACCAAUUUUAUCAUGUCACAUUAUAAGCAACUUAUAAACUCAUUGGAUUCGACUCUUUACUAAAAUAAAAAUAAAUUAAUAUAUAUAUAUAUAUAUAUAUAUAUUUACAUACAUAAAAUGUGAUUAUAUACACAUAUUUAUAAUUGAAUAUGUACAUAAAUUCUGUAGAUUUAUGUCUAUCUAUACAUUUGCAUUCUUACCACAUUUUAAAAGUGUGAUUUACCAAAUACAUGGGACUUAUUUGAAAUUUAUAGCACUUUUAUAAAUAAAAUUUAUCAAACGUUAAACAGAUUCUCUAUUUUCGCGUAUAUAUCCUCAUGUAAAUUAUAAAAAUUCAAAAUUAUCUUUAUUCAAUUAGGAAAUUAAAUCAUUAUUUUUAAAGAGAUUCUUAUUAUUACUAAUUAGAUUCAAAUAACCAAAAAAAUACAAUCAAUAAAAUAAAAAUAUUUAUUUUAGUUAUCAUUUAUUAUAUACACAUAUUUAUAAAUGCAUGUGUAAAUAAAAUUUUAUAGAUUUAUGUCUAUUUAAGUUAUUUGCAUUCUUACAACAUUUAAAAAAUGAGAUUUACUAAACACAUGUGAUUGUUUUUAAAAAAGUUACAACACUUUUAAAAAUAAAAUUUAACAAAUGUUUAAUUGACUCUCUCCAAAGGUAAUUGUUUUUACAGUAUAGCUAAAGUAAUUUAUAAAUUUAUGAUAAGUAUUUGUGAAUAUUGGUCUAUGUAAAGAAGUAAAAACAACAUAUAUAUUAAGCAGCAUGAUAUUAAAACUCUUAGUAAAAUACAUAUACUAAUAAAAGAAAGACAACAAUGCAAUAAAUAAGCUUAUAAUAUAAAUUAUUAAAAUUGUAUAUUAAAAAAUUAUGCAUGAAAUUCUUUUUCUAUUUUGGUGAUAGAGAAUGCGAUAUAAUUGAAUUAUUUGAUUUAAUAAAAAAAAAAUAUGACUGUGAAGGAAAUUAACAAUUGAAUUGUGGAAUGUUAUUAAUUGUUAUUGUAUCAUUUUGCAACGUUCUAAUAAUAUGGACAAUGUUACAGUAUAUUGAUGGGCGGUAAUAUUUUCACCUCUUAAAUUGUGUAAAGUCAGCUCCAUUUAAAAAAAUUAUAUAUAAAAAGCCCAUUAGUUUUAAUAGUUUCAAAUUAAGAUUAAAUGCAAAUAAUUAACCAAUUAAAUCCUUAUUAAUAAGAUCAUUGAGCUUUAAUUAAACUAAUAAAAUGCAUUUGAUAAAUGAAAUUUACGAUAUUUAAUUACAUGAAAUUUAUUGACUACAUGAAUAAUAUAAUUGUUCAGCUGUUUAAACUUUUUCCCUAUUUAAAUUUUAAAAAACAAUGUGAAAUUUUGUAAAUAGUUCUUUGAAAUGGGGUGGAUUUACACCAUUUGUGCAGUGCAAAUAUCCUAAUUCUAACAUUUUUUUUAAAAAAAAAGACCAAAUCAUAACAUUUUUUGUAUACUAAGUUAAAGUAGUACUAACAUUAUAGCCCCCUAAUGAUUUCAAUUCAUUCAAUGAAUAUAUAAUUUAAGCAUGUUAUAAACUAAGUCUCUAAAUCGAAUUAAAAAAAGAAAAAAGAGCUUAAUUGCUGACAUAGUUGAAAAUAAAAUAAAAAAUUUUAUUAUUAGAUGAAAAAUUAUGAAACUUAAGGGGUAUAAGCGAGUCGGCAGCUGCUCACCAGGGCAUAUGUAAUAUUUGUUAAUACAUUUCAAAAUUUUAGGUUUUUUAAUAAUAUUUUCAAUACAUUUUCUAGAAGGUUUAGAAAAAAAAAAUGACUCAAUACUUUAAUCGAGCUAUGAAUAAACUCAUGUGUUAAAAAAUUUCAUAUUUACACCCAAUAAGAUUAAUUAAUGGGUGAUACAAAUUUAAGAUAGUUAAUAAUAAUAUAUAUCAUCUUAAGUUAACUUCAACUCAUUAACCUUGUAUAAGGUUUGAUGGGUCGUGCCGCAAAUUAUCACCUCUAAUCCUUUUUGCAACAGGCAUGAUGAAUGCUAACAAAAUGAAACUUCUAUAUAUUUAGUUGUUAUUCUUUUUAAUGAAAUAAUAAGGAGCUUUGCUGCAAAUUUCCAUCCAGCAUGGCAUGGACGCACGUGAAAUUUGCUAGUAUGGUCCUGGACAUGCGUGGCUGAGAUGCUUCUAAAGGCAAAGAAUUCCAAGUUCAUACCAAAUAUAACUUUCUGAUAUUUUUGUGGUAUCAAGUUUGUUUUUCACAAACUAAGGUGUCGGCGUAAAGUUGUUGUCCAUGCAAUGAAGUUUUAUACAUAAAUAUAUUAACCUAAAUUGUUACUAAAGUUCCAUAAUUAGCAGUUCCUGAGAGUUUUUACUAUAUAUUUUUUUGUUUUAAUUCAACAUAUGUUUAUUUAAUACGAUUUUAUUAAAUAAAUGUGCAUAUUUACCAUAUUUGUCUACGAUCAAUUAGUUGGAAAAAAAAAAGAAAAUUAAUAAAUUUAUUUAUUUGAUUGUUAAUGGUUUAGGCAUUUGAAUUCCCACAAAGUCAGGGUGUCAGCUCUGGACUUCUGGUGAUGUAUUUUUCUAAUAAAGAAAUAAAAUAUUGUUGUCAUUUUUUUAAUAUUCUAAUUUACCAAGCCUACCAACCAAUUAAUUUUUCUAAUUAGAUCAUUAAUUCAUUACACGUGCAUUCGCUGGCCCAGUGCUCCAAUCCCAUGCAUGCUGCACAACUCAAUGUGUUUUAAUAAGAAAAGGUUUGGUUAGCCUGUGCUGAUGCCAGAAGCCCCUUAAGGAGUUCAGGUAAACGUAAAUAUGUCCAGAUUUAGAUUUGAAUAUGUAAACGUAAAUAGGUCCAGAUUCAGAUUCGUUGCGCUAGAGAGGGGCACGCACGAUCGGGCUGCUGUCAGGUGGUACGUUGGCGUGGCAAUUCUCAACACGCGCUUCUCCUGGUGCAUACUUACGGCAAGUUGACACGUGACCCGUGUGGAUUGAGUGGACAGAGUCACGGGCACUGAUUUUUGUCAUCCAUAACGACUAACGUCGGAGACUUCGAGAAGAAAGAAAUUGUUGUCGUUUCUAAGGGGAAAAAAAUAUUUAAUUUGUUGAAGACAAAUUAACGUCGGAGAUUUUUUUUAUUUUUUAUUUUUAAUUUUGCAAUCUAAACCAGUCUAAUCAAAAUGUCAAUUUGACAAAAGUUGGACUGAUUUAGAUUAGUUCUAUUAGUUUGAUUGGAUUAAAUUGAAUUAGAUCUUGAACAUCCUAACACUUUUCAUGAAUGUUUUCCUUUUUUUUUGAAAAAAAUUAAUAAGGAGAAUUCCCAUGAAUGUUAAUUUUAUUGAUAAACUUGGCAAUUUUAAGAAAUGUUUUGACGCACGAAUAAUGCAAUUCAUCAACCCACAUAGAUAUGGAUAUAGGAAGCAGAGACCAGAUCGAUCUUGACAUAACGAAAACUUGUAUGUGUAUAUGUAUGUUACAGACCAGAUCGAUCUGUAGCAUAGACUUCUCCUAUAUGUAGGUUAUAUUCAAAUUACAAAAUGAACACAUGUUAAGGAUCUACAACUUCUUCUUUAAUCUAAUAAGCUCCCUCAACUUUAUUCCAAAACAAAAAAGAAUCAAAUUUUUGUUGGAAAUAUUUAUGAAUGAAGAAGCAAAAAGCGCUUGUAUCAAGGAUCUAAUUAAAGAACUGCCAGAGGCAUAGAUCUAUCAAAGCUCCCUCGCAUGACUCUUGGUCUCGGUGGCUUCUUCUUCUUCAUUCCGAAUUUUCCCUCCAUCUGAUCUCUUCCAACCUUUCCAUUUCCAAAUUGAAUUGAAACUUGCCUCAUAUUCGUUUGUUGAAUCCCAUCUUUUGUUGCACCACCAUGCAUCAAAAUCCUUGAAAUCCCAGCAUAAUGCAAGGACUCAGCUAUUUGCAAUGGGGUCACGUUCUUACUUGUCCUUGCCUCAACAUCAGCUCCCUUCUUCACAAGCAAUUCAGUCACAUCUGUGUGGCCAGAUUCCACCGCACAAUGCAAAGCUGUGUACCCAUCUUCAUCUUUAGCAUCAACAUCAAUCCCUUUAUCAAUCAGAAUCCUCACAACCUCAAUCUUUCCCUUAAACGAAGCCCUAUGCAAAGCAGUCCAUCCAUGUAGGUCUUUCCCAUUGAUCGCGGCGCCUGCUUCGAUCAACCUCUGCAUUGUCCUCACUUCCCCUUUCCUAGCGGCAAUACACAGGCUGUCACCAAGCUUCAACGCGUCAAAGAGACGGGAGUGACCGCACUCAGCAGCAACAUCAUAAGCGGUCUUUCCGCUCUUGUUUCUAAUAUAUUUAUUAGCACCCUUCUGCAAUAACAGCUUCACCAUUUGCUCAUAUCCCAAGCUUGCGGCGAUAUGCAAAGGCGUGUCACCGUCUCUAGCGUUGCGUAUAUCAGGCCUUGCUCCGUUUGCUAACAGAAGUCUCGCGCAAUCUCUUCUUCUGUCUUCAACCGCGAGAUGCAGAGCUGUGUUACCAUCUUUUGUUAAAGCAUUGACAUUAGCACCUUUGAUUAAGAGAAGCUUUAGUACUUCCAAAUGGCCGCCUCGUAAGGCCAAGUGUAUGGGCCCCCAUGUUGAUGUUCCUGAUCUUUCUGUGCUGGCUUUCCUCGCCAACAAGAGCUCAACAAUAAGUGCUUCCCCUGCAGCCGCCGCGGCUUCAAGUGGAGUACUGCAGCCACACCUGCCUUGAGACUCAACAUCCGGCCCAAACUCAAGCAAAAGUUGAACAAUAUCAGGCCUCCUUUGAGCUAUAGCAAUAUGAAGCAACGUUUGUCCCUGCGCAUCGGCAGAAUCAGCCGGGUUCCAAGCCGGGUCACUCCGCUCAAGAACCUCUCUUAAAUCAUCCAUUUCACCAUCCUUAACAAGCAGAACCAAAACAGGAGACCCAACGAACAUGAUCUUGAUUCCGCUGUCGAUGAACACUUGCUUCUUCCUCGUUGUGAACCAGUCACUGGGGACGGAAUCAAGCGUCGACGUUGCAUCUUUAAUUCCAGCUCCAGGAACAACAACGCUGUGCAAGAGGAAGGAAUCAUCACAGUGAGGGAAAGAAUCAGGAAGAACCGAUCCUGGAGGGAGAUGAUACGCAAUCUCUACGCUUAGUGUUGCGAGUGGUGAUAUGAUUCCUGAUUGCGGCUUCACAGUAUAACGAGCCUUGUUUGUAGGCUGAAUCCUGAAAGCAACAGGCAUCGUGUGCAUGACAUUGCGGAGAGUCAGCUCCCCGGAACAUUUCUGCCCUGGUUCAAUUCUGAUAGCUACAAGGUUCGACGGCUCCAAGCUUACAAGCCUAUCCAUUGAUUAAUUUUCUCUCCGUUUCCCAAGGACUGCUGAAAGGGGUUCUUUGAACUUUUUGAUUCAGGCUUAUUUUCUUCACUUUUGGUGGCAUGGGGAGGAAUUAGAGGAGUAACUGUAAGAGCUGCAAGUGUUGGUGUAAUCAACUGUAAUAUAAGGAGAAGAGAGGGCCGGCUCUAAUGGGAGACUGCCACGUGGUGGUGUUAAAAACAAUGAGACUUGUUCUGUUCGGCGUCCGGAGUGUAUAUACAGUUGUGUUAGUGGUGAAAGUUAAAGAAAUCCUGAAGUUAUUUUCGGAGUGGCUUCUGCAAAGUCACUUUCAGGAUUGUAUUGUAUCAUUAAAAAACAAAGCCAGUUUUUGUUGUUCUAGUAAAAGGCGAAUCAUUGGACAAACUCGUAAGAAUAUGUUGCCAAAUGUAUAAAAUAUGAAAUUCAAACAAUGAUUACAAUGUGAAAUUGGACAAUGGACAUGGCCUGUGUGAAUUGUUUUGUGGGCUUACUAAUUAAAUUAAUUCACUAAAAAUAAUGUCACUUUUGUGUCUGUGAAGAAGCCGAAAUGGCACAGUCAUUUACGUGGCCAACUACGGUGACUACUUCGUCAGUAGCUGCUCGAGCACUUGGUCAGCACAAGUUGCUUUCUUUCUUGGCGGGAUUAGUUUUUCUUCAUUGCUUUAAGUGGUGCAUUUCUGCAGUUUCAUUUUGCUUUGCUUAUGCCAUUGGAUUUGUGCCCCAUAAAUAAAUAUAUAAUUAAGCGGAAAAGUAUCAAAUUUUGAAAAAGCUUAGGUUUUGUGUGUGUGUGUGUGUGUGUGUGUGUGUGUGUUUUAAGCCGAAUUACUCGGCUAAAAAUUAAUCCGAUUAUUAUUGUUUUGGUGCUUAAGAUGUGACUCUAACCUAAAGCUCAUUUGAACUCUCUUGAUGCUCAUAUGGUAUUUUUUGUGUUGUGUCGUGCUGGCCCUUACACAUCUCGGCUCAUAUUUUUCAUGUUACUAAGUUCUAAUAUGUACAAAAGAAAUAGAGCAAUGUCCGGUGGUAGAUCCAAACACUCAAUUUGGGGUGCUUAUUUUUCAGUCUCAAAUUCGAUUAUUUUCUUUUAAAAUAUUAAAAUAAUAGUAAUAAAAUACUUAUUUUAAAUACUGAGCUCAUUACAACCACAUAUGUAAAAGUAUCAUUUAUAUUUUUUUUCUAAAUAAUCUUCACAAAAUAUUUUAAAAAAUAAAAUUAUGUGACUAUGGGGAUUUGAACCAAGUCUCUCAAACUACUAAAUAACACUUUUACCACUAAAUUACAAAUCUUUUAACAUAUUAAAAGUGCAUCCAAAUUAUUAUUAUUAUUUAAUUAUUUCAUAAGAGAUUUGGGGCACAUUUAAAAGAAAAAAAAUUAAUGGUGCAUAAAGGACUAAAGCCUCUCUUGAGUCCUUGACCUUAACUAGGUCCACCCAUGGUAAUGUCAGUGAUACCCAACUUGAAAAAUAUACAAGAAACUUGGAAAUUUAAAUUAAUGAAUAAAUAAAUAAAUAAAAGGAAACUUAGUGAUUGUAGCUGUUGUAUUGUAUUGUGGAUCAAAGAAUUACAAGUUCUUGGUUUCUCGGUAUUGGCUAAUUUUGAAGUUAAAUGAAGUUCGAAAAUAUUUACAAGCAAUAAAAUUAUCAACUGAAUGAGACAAGGAAAGAGUAUAAAGACCUUAGCAAAUUAGCAAUCCUUCUUUAAUUUAGUAACAGUGACGCUUAUAAAGUUAGAAGACGUAUCAAAUCUAAUUUAGAUUUUGCCCCAUAAAACUAACUUAACUUAUAGUGCGUCUUUGUUUAAUUAGUAAAUAUUCCACAAAAACUGAUCAGCACUUUAUAGGAAAUUCCAAACACGUUUAUAUUCACAAGGAAUAUGUCAAGGAGAAAUGAGAAUAAAAAAAUGUAAAAACUAAUAAAGCUUCAUUAAUUAGAAUUUAUAACCAUAUGUGCUCCUAUACUACUUUUAUUAUUAAGAAUUUGAAGUAGAAGGUAGUUGAUUAUCAUGAAAUUACAAAAUUGUAAACGGAUUUGUUCUUUUGGAAAAAGAAAAAAAAAAAAAAAGGAAGGAUAGUUGAUUACUUGAUUAGUGAGAAAUCAUACGUAUAAAGGACAAAUUGAAAAAUGGGACCUGAAUUGCAACAAAGCUUCAUUGGAAUUAACUGCCGAUAAAAUUAAAUUAGUAUCACCCUACCCUUUCAUCUUAAUAUAUUCGAAAUUUCACCGAUCAAAGUUUCUAGCUUCGAUUUUUACGAUCUCUCAUCCUAAUAACACCAAAAGCAUAUUCAUUCGUUUGUAAGAUUAUGUAACAAAAUAUAGUAAAUAGCCUAUAAUUUUUUUGUUUUACUACUAACCUGUUAUCAUUCUUUUCUAAUAAUACAUGUUAAAAUAUUCACAGAAAAAAUUUAUCCCUAUUACACCCAACCACCUUUUUUUGUGUUUUUUUUGUUCAAAUUUUAGCAUUAAAGGGACAAUAAUGUCCUAUGAAAUAUGCAGAAAGACAGUUAAUAAUAUUCAAAAAUGUAAGUGGAGGUAUCUUACGCCACACACACAAAUUACACGACUCUCAUUAAUGUGUUGUUGUUGUUAUGUGUGGCGUAAGUUACAGUUGAAUGUCAUAUUCAAAAAAGUAAGUGGAGGUAUCAAUCUCCCUAAAUAAAUAAUUUAUGGAAGGUUGUUAGCUGUUGUACUUUUAGUUAAUUUUAAAAUCACAAUAAUAUGGUUAAUGUUAAGUUACAUGCAUGUAACUUAGGAGGAUCCCAAUAAUAUACCAUAUUUUAUUAAUAUGUACAGUAUUUAUAAUAUUUAAAAAUUAAGGAAUUAAUGUACGCAUGUAAAAGCUGCAUUGGAGCCAGUUGGAAAUCUUACUGUCUUGAUAUAUGCAACGAUUGUAGCAGCUAAAAAGGCAUGAUAUUUACUUAAUAUUAUUUCAAACAAUAAUUAUUUAUUUAAAGCAAAUAAUAAUAAUGAGGGCAGAAGGACUAUUCUAGGAUCAAUAUGGUGACAGUAUAAAUAAAUAAUAUUAAUUAUUAAUGCAUUGAUGAGUAUUGUUAAAAUGACAUAAUAGGUUUGUUUCAUUGAAUUGAACCUUUUCUCUUAAAAUAGCUAUAAUUUGUUCUCUCUCUCUCUGUGUUUUUGUUUUUGUUUUUCACUUUAGUUUUACUUCUCUUAAAAAACCAAAAAAAAAAAAACAAAAUUAAUGGAAACUGAUGAUGGGAAGACGGACAAUUUUCUAUAUUGUUAAAUAGAAAUGGGCACAAAUGUGAGUUUUUUGGGGCAAAAAAAUAUAGUCAAUGUACGUAGCGUUUGUCUAUUUGAAAACCCGUCAAUAUAAAAACAGGACGUAAAGCUUUCAGACAAAGUACUCUUAUGGCCGUACUUUCCAUAAACCAAAUCAAAAGAAGGAAAAUAUUUGUGUCUGGCUUCGAUGCGACUGUUAACAUUCACAAAUAAACACCUUUGCAUGGUCAGAAAAAUUAACAAGAAAUUAGAAGGCGAUGUUGCGUUCUACUUAGUUCUCUAGGAUUUGUGUCAUUUGUUUAUGCUACGGUUCGUUCCCAUUUGCAUUGCGUGGAAUAAUUGGCCGAAUAUUAUUAAUCUCAAUCUUAAUCUCUCAACUCUUGUCCCUUUAAUUUUUGUUUGUAUCUUUUUCUUUUUUUUUUUAAAUAUCACAUACAAUGCUUUUAAUAAAUAACUUCAUAGAAAUAUUUAAUAAAAUCCAACAUAUAUAAGUUCAAGAAACUCAAAAAAUAAAAGAAAAUAAACUCACGUUGUCACUGGAGAGACUCAAACAUGCUACCUUAAAAUUAAGUAGAGGGUGCAACUACUUGCACUUUAAAAAAAGAAAAGAAAAAAAAAGGGGCUUUGAACGCUCGUGAUAAUUUGCAAGUUAUGGAGGAUAAUCAUUGUACAAUGGGGAGAACUCUUAUGGAACAAUAUUCAAACUGAUAUUGAAAGCAUAUAAGAAUUUGGCUUGGGUGUUUUGGUGCCAUGAAUGAGUGCAGAAACAAAGAGGAAGCUUUGUCCCUUUAAUUUGAUCUGCUGUAUUAUAAUUAUUGAGAUUAAUCAAAUAAAUAACCGAAACAUGGUUACAGUUUUAUAGUGUAUUGCAAGUCUUUGGAGAUACUAUGUACCUCAAAAAAAAAUAUCGUAUAAAAGAGUGUUUUGUUUCACAGGGGUUCAAUGAGAUUUGAGAUGGCUGUAAUGAAAGUGAUGUAAAUUUUUUGGACUCUAAUGAGGUGUUUUUAGAUGGAGGGGGAUUUACAAGUAUUUUAUAGGGGUGAUAAAUGACUGUAUACCCACCAAAAAGGCCCAUUGUUCGAGUCCAUGAGCAUUACAGUUUUUUUUUUUUUUUUUUUUGAAAUUCAGAACAUGCAGUUUGUUUGAUUCAACUUCCGAAUUACAAAAUUAGAAUAAGAAAAAAAAAUGUGGAUGUUUUUUCUUUAAUUUACAUAAUAAUACAUGGUGUGGACGAUGUCUAUUGAGGGAUAAAAGAGGAAUGGGGGCACUGUGAAGUUUGUGUUUUUGUUUUUUUUAAAUUAUCAUAUUCAUACUGUCUAUAAAAAUAUGCAAGUUAAAAAAUUACUCAUGAUAUUGUUGUUUUUGUUUCAUAUAAUACUACUUAUGCACAUCGCCUCAUGCAAACAUUUCUUAGUUAUGCUUAAAAAAAUGAGAUUCUCACCAUGGGUCACUGUAAAAAUCCACAGAAGCCGUGGAUCACAGUAGGAAGCCCACUUGAACAGAAGAAGCUACCGAAAGCUUCGACAUUGUAUUUAUGAAAUGCUUAGUAAAUUUUGUUUUAUUUUGAAUUUAUAUUAUAAAUGGUGUGUUGCUAAAUUAAAAAAUAAAAAAGAAAUGCAAUGUGUCAAAAUACAAGAAUCUUACGGACAUUUUUGUCACAAUAUAUGUAAAUAAUUCAUAUCUUAUUCAUAUCCUAUGUAAGCUUCACUUGUUUAACACAAUGGUGGUUGAAUCUUCAAAAAUUCAUAAUCUUAAACAACCAAAUUUGGAAUUAAUUAAGCAAAUUGCCUCUAUAAAUUGAUUACAACAACCAACGACGUGUGAAGCCACAUGUCAAUUUCCCUAGACAGCCCAAAUAUUGAGGCGCUGUGAGGGAGCAAGGUGCAAUCGGAUGGGGGAAAGAGAGAGAGCCAAUGGUGAGAAUGGAUCGUGGUGAGGGAGAACCAACUGGUGGUGAGAUUUGUGGCUUCAAUGAGGUGAGUUUCGUGGCGCUGUGAGUGAAGUGAGAUUUGGCAUGAGUGUGAGGGAGAAUGCGUGUGUUGUGUGAGUGAGGUAAGCUGUGUCUGUUGUGUGCAUGGAGACUCUCACCACAAUUAGAAUUUAUAGUUAGCACAGAACGAAACACAAUAUUCUACGCUAACUGUGGAGUUAACCAUGGUGAGAAUAUCAUUAUUGUUUAUUAUAACACUUUUUUUUUUAAUUUGUUUUGACAAUAAAAUAAAGAACCUUGUAAGAAAACCUCAAUAACUCAAUUAAAAAACCAACUCAACCGAUGAUAGGUAAAUUGAGAAAUUUUCAACUAAAAAUUAUUAAGAUUGGUUUUAACUUCAAAUCAUAGUCACAUAGUUUUGUCCUUAUAAAGAUCAAAAUAAUGAAUUCUAACUCCGAAGUUUUUAGAUUUAUGUGACGAACUGACGAUAGUAUAUUGAAAUCGAUUGAAAUGAAAAAUUUAAUUAAAUGCAAUUCAAGAUGUAGUAUCAAAUUCAAACGAUUCGGAUUGUUUUAAAAAUUUCAAUGCUUUAAUCUAAAUCGAUUAAUCAAUUACACUCUUGCAAUUAUAUACCGUUAAAACUAAAAUAUGUAAAAUUUAGGGUGCAUUUAUUACCAUUUUCAAUUUGUUGUUUUUCGUUUUAUGAAAAGGAAAAUACAGAAAACUUGUUUGGUGAGCUCAUAUUGGUGGAAAACUGUACAGUGAUUAAAAACAAAAAAAAAUUCAUUUUUCAAUGUUUACAAAGGAAACAAGAAAACGCUAUUACACUGGGUUCUCUAUUUUAUUUCACUUUUACUCUCUGCCAAGGCCCUACCAUCUUAACUUUUAUAACAUGGUGUAAUAAAUUACGUGGGCCCAUUUAAUAAAGAAAUAAUCUAAUAAAUAAAUUAUUAUAACAAAUAUUUAAAAAUAAUAGCAUUCCAUACCUUACAGCUUAAUUACUUAAUAUAUUACCCAAAUUAUUUUAAAUAAAAAGUGAUAUCAUAUAAUUAUUAUACUAAAUUAUUACAUUGUUCGACCAAUAUGCAGUUAUUUAAAAAUUACUACAAACUUUCUUACAUAUAUUAAUGAAAAUAUAUCAAUAAUAAAGUUACAUCUUGACAGUUAAUAUAAAUAAAUAUAUGAUAAUUAUGAAAUAAUUAAAGAUUUUCUCAAUUAAUAUUAUCUUAUAACUACAAUUUAUUUACAUAAUUAAAAGUUUUUAAGAAAUUAUUAAAAUAUCUUCAAACCUAUAUGCAUUUAUAAUAAUAUAUAAUACAUCAUAAUAUAAUAACUAAAUAGAUAAAUUAUUUAUUAAUAUAAAAUAUAUGUUUAUAUUCAUUAUAUAAUAUUAUUCUUUCAUAGUAGUUUCAUUAAAUAAUUCUCUACUCUCUCUCUUUUUAUCUUUAUUUUUUCGGACAGACAAGUAACCAAACACCGCUUCACCUUUUUUUUAUUUUCAAAUACUAUUCUUAAAAUAAACUACCAAACAUAUUUUUAUUUUUAACAAAAACUAAUCAUUUUUAUUUUAUAAAACAAAUUGAAAAGUACUAUUUAAAAUAUAAUACCAAACUUACCCUUAAUAAUUUUAUAUUUGUCAAAAAGAUGAGAAGCUAAGUGGCACUAUCGUUUACCUAUUCAAACUAAACGUGGAGUCACAAUAUUGAAGACACUUUGGUGGCCACAACACUCUUUUCUUUAGUACGGAACAAUCUGGCUUACAUGACACUACAUAAAAAUAAAUAAUAAAAAAUCACCGAUUCCAACUGCCCCGGACAAAAAACAGGCCACACGUAAAAAGGCUUCUAUUUUUAUUUUUAUUUCUCCCCAUUUUAAAGAUGACGUCAUGGUGAUUAUGAAACCAGAAAAUAACAAAUUUUAGUUGUCUGAUUUUGUAGUUAUCCAGCGAAAACUAAAAAAACAGUGAACGCAGCAGCAGAUCUCCGUGUUUGUCGUCGUUCGAUGAGAGAUUCCGAUUCGUGAGCAUCGCAAGUGUUGAAAUGGAAUCAGACGAAAUGAGGAGUUAGCCUCUUAUUAUAUAAUAAUAAUAAUGAUAAUAAUAAUAAUAACUAAUCUCUUUUAUCAUAUAAUUGAUAAUGGAAAUUCACAUUGACAAAAGGCAAAUUACACACUGACUGGGCAGAAUAAAAAACAGUCUCUCUCAAAAGCAAUAAUUUAAACACUAACACCACCUUAAGGAGACACCCCAAAAAUAAAGCAGCAAGCUCUUACUGUGACCACACACACACACACACACCAAACUUUUAUUAUAGAAUAAAUCUAAGAUGAUGGAUGAUGGAUGCGUCACAUAAAAGUUAAUUAAUUUAAUCGCUGUCACUGCUGCUGCUGCUCUCGUGUCCGUCCUCGUGCUUCUUCUUCUUCUCCUUCUUUUUCUUCUUCUCUUCACCGUGGGCGGCGCCCUCGCCGCCGCCGACACCGGGGAUCUUCUGCUUGAUCUUGUCCACCAAGCCCUCCUUGUGUUCGCCCUCCUUGUGUUCCCCGCCGUGAUGCUGCUGCUGAUGGUGAACAUCAGUAGUGCCGACACCGGGGAUCUGCUGCUUGAUCUUGUCCACCAAGCCCUCCUUGUGUUCGCCGCCGUGAUACUGCUGCUGAUGGUGGACAUCAGUAGUGUGGUGGUCCCCACUAUGGUGCUCUCCCUUGUGCUUGUCCUCCUCCUUUUGCCCUCCUCCCAUGUGAAGGGCUUCUCCGAUCUUGUGAAUAACUCCUGACAUUUUCCCUUAAAAUGACUCUGUUCCUCUUCUUUUCUUUUCAAUGAAAAAUAGUUGUUUGCGAUCUUCUUCUGGUUGUUGUUGUUCUUGUUGGGUGAUCUUGGCUUGGUAUUUAUAGGCUCCAAAAGGAGGGACUAGAAUUAGGAUUAGAUUAUAGAUUAUUUUAAUACAUUUUAUGGCAAAUUCUGAUUUGGAAAGAUAAGAUUAUCCUUUUGGUUUUCCUUAUUUACCCUUUUGCACCCAUUACGUGUACGCGUCUUCGUGGGCUUUUUGGGUAUUUCAAUUAUAUCGCCAAUGCUAAAUCGACACGUUGCAUAUCAGCCGCGGUACUGCCGUAUGUAGUUGUCCAGAAAUCGAGUCGAUUCUCGAUCGUACAAUAAUUAAAUAAUAUUUCAUACGAAAUGAGUUUAGAUAUAUUUUGAAAAUUUAUUUUUAAUUUAAUUAUACGUGUUAUAUAUUUGUUAAUCGAAUAGAGGUCCCACGUAACAGAGUGUUUCUCUAAUCUUUCAUUGCUUUUAAUUAAUUUUACCCAAAUAAAAAAAAAAAGGAAAAUUUAGAGAGAGAGAGAGAGAUAGCGAAUUAGAAGUUGAUUGUAAUAUCGACACCUGUCAGACAAUCAAAUAUCGUUAGUUAAAAAUCAGUUGUCCAUAGUCAUGGUCAUAGAUGGCGAAAUUGAUACUUAUUUUAAAAAACAAAACAAAACAAAACGAAACGAAACUAAACUAACAGAUGUUGAAAUGCAGUUCCGUGUUAACAGUCUGUGAUGAAUCUUUAUCUUUGAGUAUACCAUUCAAGAAAUUAUCAUUCAAAAAUUUAUUUAAAGCAGCAGCAAAUCACCUUCUAAUUCCUGAAUCAAAUUAAUUCGAUUUUUUUCGAGUCGAUCAAUUCAUUAGAGAAUUAACGGGCUAAGUUAAAGUUUUGUUAGUUAUUUUUUUUUAUAUUCCUUUAGAUGAUAUGAUUGUCAUUGUCUUUCUUUCUCUGGGCAACAAUAAAUACAAGAUGUGCAAAAGCGUAGUGGAACAUAAUUCGAUUAUGGGUAAAGGGAUCAGUCCGCAUAAUGAGGAUAAAGUUUUUCUCUUUAAAAAAAUUUAACCCAAAGAAAAGGUCGUAGUUUGUAAUAGCCGACACGCAGAUAGAUCACAAAGCAUGGCGGUCCUGAUGGCAAUAACUAACUGAUAUCUUCUGCGAUGAGAGGAGAUCACGUGGUUCUGACACGUAUCGCCCCAUCAACUGAUGUUGUGGCUGCAAUCGCGGCCCAGUCUUUAGAGAGAAGAAAGAUCUGUUAUAACGGGACCUACUUUAGCAUCUAUUUACGACAAAGCCCCUAUUUACUCUACUUAGUAGUAAUAAUAGCAAGUGUCGGGCUUGGAUUCCGUGUUGCUUUAAAUAAAUAUCCGCGUAAAAAGAAAAUGCUUCUUUAAUCCCUUCCUUGUAAUUUUUCGACACGUGGAUGGUUGAAAUUAGCGUGCCGACAUCUUAGGAAUUUUAUCUUGGAGACGGGAACACUGCAGUAGGCAAUGCCAUUUUCUUCGGAUGGUGUGUGGUGACAACGCCUUGGAUUUUGACGUGCAAAGAAUUUAAAUUGAAAAAGAAAAAAAGAAAUUACCAGAAUAAGCAUAGAAGAGAUAUUUUUCUUUUUGUCCUUUUUGGAAUGGAAAAAGAGAUCAAGAGAUUGUUCCAGUAAGUAUUACACAUGUCACAGGCUUAUUCAUGCCCCAUUAUGGCAACUUUUAUGCCUCGCGGUGCCCUCGGUUCCAGCAUAAUAGCUAAGACUUCAAUUUUUCUAACAUAUUUUUGUUACAAAUAUGAACGGAGUAAAUGUAUAACUUUAAUCCUUUGAAUAAAGAAAUGGCGGUUCUCCUGCUCGUUAAUCUCACUUGAAUCCCACCCAGGCAAAAUUUCUUUAUUUUAUUUAACAACAAUUUAAAGAAAGAAACUUUUGCCAGGUUGAAUUUCAAGUGAGAUUCAUUCGUGGGAGAAGUGCCAUUUCUUUAUUCAAAAGAUUAUGGUAAUUACAACUUUCAAUUUCGACAUAAAUUAAAAUUAUAGGCUAUACAAUAAAAUUGCCCUAAAUUAGUCCUAAUCAAUUCAGAUUAUAAAUUUAGGUAUAUUUAUUAUUUUAAUAUAUUAAUGUUCUAUAUAUAUAUAUAUAUAUAUAUAUAUAUGUGUGUGUGUGUGUGUAUNNNNNNNNNNNNNNNNNNNNNNNNNNNNNNNNNNNNNNNNNNNNNNNNNNNNNNNNNNNNNNNNNNNNNNNNNNNNNNNNNNNNNNNNNNNNNNNNNNNNNNNNNNNNACAGCAGAAAAUAUUUGCUAUGGAUAAGGAGACAUGGUCCCACGUCCCACCGUCCCAAUGCAUAUUUUGUAUGUUUCCAUCUUUUCUGAAAUUUUAAUAAAUAAAGUUUUUUGACCACUUGGCCAAAGAACCUUACCCUUACACAACUUUGUGGUUGGAGUCCUGUGAUACAUGUAAGAACUUAUUUUUUUUCUUAAUUAUAAUAUUUUAGAAUAUAAUUAAGUGAAGUAGGUUUUUUUUUUAAAUAUGAGUAAAAUAGAUAUUUUUUAAAUAUUAAAGAGAGUAAAAUUUGAAUAAUAAUAUAUUAAAAUUAAUACAAACUAAUUUUAAUAAUUAUUUAAUUAUAAAUAUCAAUUAUAACAUCAUAUAAUAUCAAUUAUAAUAUCGUACAUCUCAAUUAAUUCAAUAAUAAUAAUAAUAAAUGUUUUUUGGGAUAAGUAAACAGUCGCAUGGCGACAAUAGUGGAUCUGGAUUAGAGUGAAGUGGUCCCAAGAGGCUGAGGCUGUGGCUGUGGAGUUCUAAAAGUCAAAAGCUCCACGCACUUUGUUUCAGUACCAUACACACUGAAAAAAUUUGCAUUUGCAAUGACGAAAACUUUUCACGAAAUCAAAACACCUCUAAACUAUUUUGUUAUCGAUAUUUAAUGGAGGGGUUUCCUACCUUUUUAACACUCGAUUCACGCCUUGACGCAUCUCACAGAAAACCUCAUGAUCCCAUUAAUCUUGCGUAACAUAUCUCAAAGCCAAUGCAAGUGAUCUUGUUGCCUACUUCCCUUUGACGAUUCAAAAUUGUUGAAAAUAAUUCUUUUUUUUUUUAACCUCAAGGAAGUGACAAAAUAUAAAAGAAUAUUUUCUACACAUUAAACAUCUAGAUUUUUUUUUCUUUUCUUUUUAGAGUACUUGCACAAACCGUUUCCAAGAGAGACCUUUUUUUUUUUUUUUUUUUUCCGGGCUUGGUUACUAAUUUGGUGUGAAUACUCUAUGGUGAAAAAGGAAUCACAAAGCUGUAAUCAAUUUUUUUGCAUCAUUUAGUUGUAACUUGAACAUUGGGAGGUUUAUAAAGAAUUAAAUUAAUUAUAAUGCCUCUACUAGGAAAAGUUCAGAGUAGCCCUUCACAACUUUUUAAAGGCUUAAUAAUUUUCGCUUUCUUCCUCUCAUAACAUAACAAAAAAUUAAGAGCUUUACUCGUACACGUCCUAUGGCUAUAUAGUAUUGGGUUCUCUACUUCAAUCGGCUAUCUCAAACCGAAGGUUAUUUGGACACACCAGCAGUCACGUUUGG
This 67217-nucleotide long non-coding RNA is filed under the name Citrus sinensis (sweet orange). Its description in RNAcentral is "long non-coding RNA (CSIN_LNC002323)". The record is from RNAcentral. Lineage: Eukaryota; Viridiplantae; Streptophyta; Magnoliopsida; Sapindales; Rutaceae.